Molecule: long non-coding RNA, 56232 nt
Filed under: Gossypium barbadense (sea-island cotton)
Lineage: Eukaryota; Viridiplantae; Streptophyta; Magnoliopsida; Malvales; Malvaceae
Description: long non-coding RNA (GBAR_LNC008641)
Source: RNAcentral
AAACAGAAACAAUUUGUAACACCCCCUAACUCUAAACCGUCACCAAAAAAAGGUUUAGAGCAUUACCAGAGUUUACAGAAUAAUUACACACAAUUCCAUUAUUUUCUUAUGUUUAUGUCAAAGCUGUCUUCUUGAGCAGCAGUCACUAAAAUAUUUAUAACUGGAGCUAUGAAACUCCAAAUUAAGUUCCGUUAAUUUUUGUUAAAACUAGACUCAUAUACCAUUCUACCAUGAAAUUUUCAGAAUUUUUGAUUUAGCCAAUUAAUACAGUUUAUUCCUCAAAGUUACCCCUGGUGUGCUGUUUGACAGCUUCGACCUUUCUUUACUAAAAUUUAAUUAUCUCAUAGCAUAGGACUCGGAUAAUGUUCCCAUUUAUUUCUCUUGAAAAUAGACUCAUUAAAGAUUCUAUGAAUAUAAAUUAUAGCCCAUAAUUAUUUUUAUACAAUUUUUAAUGAUUUUCCCAAUUAAAAAUAGGGAAUUCCAAAAUCAAUCUGACAUUGUCUCACAAAAAUUUAAAUUCAUACUAAAUUAGUCAAAUCCUAUUUUAUACCAUAACCAAACCUAAAUUUAUCUAUUUCAUCCUUACAUUUAUAAUUUUAAAUUGACACACACAUAAGACAUCUUAGGUACAUGCCAUUACCCAUAAUUAACACACUUUACCUCAUUGAAUUCGGGAUCGGCCUGGGAUACUGAUUCAACGUUCUAUCUUUACUUAACCUACGCACGGAAACAAACCGUGCGCUUUCCGUGCGCUGAGUAUGGUAUACUCAAUGGUAUUUCUAUAAUCCGAACACUUGAUAAUAUAAGAAUUAAACUUAAAAUCACAAUAACAAAUAUAACUAUUCAUUUAUUUAUUUUAUAGAUAAGUUUCAUUUACUUACCAUAAAAAUUCUAUACAAGCCAUAUAACAAACACAACAACAUAUUUGCUCAAUUCUUUUCAUUUGCUUACCGUAUAAAUUAUUUACAAUAUAUUCACAAUUCACUUGUAUUCACACUUUACUUCUUAACAAUAUACCAUUUUAAUUCUUUCUAACAUCAAUCAUCAUCCAUUUGAACUUCACUCAUUUCAUGAACCUUUUGGUUCAUGUUUUCAAUCUCAUAUCUCAAUUUCAAUUCUCAAUUCAAUUUCUCAUUUCAUUCCAAUAGCUCAAUCAAUCAAAUUCACUCGAUUUAUCUUUUCAUUUAUUUACCCCUAUUAACAAGACUCGGACUCUGAUAGAUACGUGGAUUCCUCCCAAACACACCAGAAUAUCCAACCCAAACACACCCGGAAUAUUAUAAAUCCUCCAUAACACACCAGUAUAUCAUAUCCUCCCAAACACACCAAUAAGGCAUUAAAUGCCUCUUCGGAUAAACCGAAGUAUAUAAUAACAGAAACAUCUUCUCGGCCGAACUACAAAUCUCCUCAUCACAUCACAAAUUCAAUGGCAUGCCAUUUGUAUCCAAUUUGGUCCGAUACUGUUAAUAGGGUAUUUGUUUCAUUUUCUCAAUUUAAUAAAUCUUUCAUCAAUAUACCAUUCUAAUAAUCACAUAUAUUCACACAUUUUCACAAUUUCAUACAUUUUCAUUCAAUUCAACAUAUAUAUUUCAAUUAUUCACAUUAAUUCAUAAUUCAAUACAACUCAAUUCACUUUUCAAUAUGAAAUAUUCAAUUAUCACAGAUCUCAUAUAUUCAUAUCAAUUCCCUCAUAUUCCAAUCAAUAUAAUAUUUCAAUAUAACAUUGAUUCAAUAUUCAAAUUUUUACAUAAAUCAUAUAUAUAUUAUAUAUUUCAAUCAAUAUAAAUUCAAUCAAAAUGAUUUCAAUCAAUAUAAAUUUGAUAAAUUCAUCACAUACCAAAAUCAAUCCAUUUCAAUUGUAAAACAUCAUAAUUCUAACACUAACAAUUGUCAUAUGUAUAUAAAUAUAACAAAUAAUGACUGAGUUCGGAUUAUAGAAAUACAAACCGUAUUUUCUUGAGCUAACUCCUCAACGAUCUUUUCUUUUCCUUUAGAUGCCGAUGCCUCGUUUUCCUUGUUAGCUAAAAAUAAUAAAAAUUUACAUUAUUAAUUACAGUAUUAAUUUAAAUAAUUAAUUAAAUUUCUACUCAAUUUAUGCCUAAUGUUCGUUUGGUUGCAACUCCCAAAUUUUCUUCAUACUUUAUCCGAAAUUAUUAGUUGUUGUUCUGACUUCAUCAAUAACUUUAUAUUUCAUCCGGAUAUAUUACUUUAUUGCUCUAGUUUCAACAAUAACUUCAUAUUUCAUCCAGAUAACUUAGUUAUUUUCUUUCCUUUUUUUUUUCUUCCUAUGUGAAAAACCCAAUAAAACUCUUGCUAGUUGAAAAUUCAUAUAUUUAUUUCAUACUUCAAUUCUAUUCAUUUUCUUCCAUAUUCAUCCUAACUAUCAAGUAUUCAUAAUAUAACCCUAAUUUAAAAUUUCUUUUAAUUUAAUCCCUCUAAUACAAAACUUAUAGCUUAACUUACAAUUUAAUCCUUUAUUAAUUCUAACUUAAAAUUUAUUCAAUUCCAUCCUUAAUAUAUCUUUUUCUUCAACAUGAACCAUGCUUAGAAAUCUCAUAACUUUCAAAAUUUCCACUUAAAACAAGUAGUAUUUAUCUCUAGGAUUCCAAAAACUCAAAAAUCAUAAGAAAAUGGGCUAAAUUGACUUACCAAAUUAACUUGGAACCUUUAAAACUUUAUUUUUCCCUUUUUCUUUUCUUCCUUUCUCCCUUCGCUGUUUCGUCCCCUCUAUUCUGUUUCUUUUCUUCUUUUUAUUCUUUUUGUUUCUUUCUUUUGUUUCUUUUAUAUAUAUAUAAUGACAAUAAUAACUAUAUUAAAAAUCUAUUUAAUAACAAAUAUUUAUUUAUCACUUGUACCAAUCAUUUUUAUACACUUGUUUUUCUUUUUUUUUAUAUAUUUAUAUAUAUUUAAUAUUUUAAUAAUAUACUUAUAUAAUAAGUAAACAUAUAUGAAUUUUAUAAAUGUAUGUAUACUAGUAUUACACAUGUCAUUAUACAUACCAUAUAUUUGUCAUUCUUUUCUUUAUUUAUCAAACAAAAAUCUCAUUAUUUAAUUAUUUAAUUAAUAAAUAUCUUUUAUUCUAAAAUUAAGUAAAUAUACAAUUAUAUUCCAAGUGUUCAAAUACAUAUAUUACACUUGUAUAAUUUUAUCAUCAUACAUUUGUCUUUAUUUAAAUUUAUUUUAUAACAUAAUAAUUUAAUAUCAAUUAAAUAAUAAUAACCAUAAUAAUAAAUUAAUUAAUUAAUAUAAGAAAAUCCUAGACUCUUCCAUCUUUUGCCGCCUAAAUUCAUACAUUAGGCAUAAUUGCCUACUUGGUCCUUUUUAUUUUCUUUUAAUCUACAAUUUAACUUUCAUCCUUUAUUCAAUUUAGUCAUUUUUCCUAAUUACUCUUAAUUAAGCUAAAUUCACUUAAUUAAAACUCUAAUUAACCACUCGAUUAACUUAAUAAAUAUUUUUAAUAAAUAUUUUCUAAUCCAUUUUUCAGAAACAGUGACCCGAAAAUACACUUUUCUAAUAACCUUAAAGUUUGGGUCAUUACACAAUUUUAUAGGGAUUGUCUCAUCAGUGGGACGGUGGACUCAUCUUUGGGGAUGUUGCGAGCGUGUUCCAAAACCAUCUGAUCAUCGCGAGGAAGCCAGGUGAAAACCAAAACAACAUGAUUACUGCCCACGGAAAGAAAUUCCCAUACAUUCACUCAGCUAUUGUGCUUCAAAAUUGUACCAUCUCGGGCACCCCUAACUACCUCUUGUUGAAGGACAAGAGCAAGAUGUACCUUGGUCGUCCCUGGAAAGCUUUGGCAAGGGCCAUCAUAAUGCAAAGCAAUAUUGAUGACAUCAUUACACUAGAGGGUUACUCCCCCAUAGAAGGUAUCGGUUACUUUGUAGAGUUACAAAACAGUGGACCCGAUGCCAAAACCGAAGGCAGGGUCAAAUGGCCAGCUAUUAAGAAAAUCUAUAUGAAUGAAGCCAAGAAAUGGACUCCUGACGUCUUUCUUGAAAUUGAAACUAACAAAUGGAUUUCGCAAACCGGCACUCCUUGUUAUCUUGACAUGGUCUAUGGAGUGUAAACUUCCAAAACCAUAGCCAUUAGUAUUAUUUUAUUAUCAUUAUUUGUAAUCAUACUGUCAAUUAUUGAUUAAUUUAAACAAAAUUUUCCUAUUUUUUAUUUAUAAUAAUAAUAUUCUACCCUUAUCCAAGGUAAAAGGGGAAUCAUAAUUAUUAUGUAUGGUCGACUGUGAAAUUAUUUUCUCAUUCCCUUAAUAAAAAAAUAGGGAAUAGUUUAUAUUAAGAUGAUAGUAAAAUAUAUAAUUUAUACAACUUUUGAAGAUGUACAAAUAUUAUUAUACACAUUCAUAUAUGAUAUCUUUUUUAAGUUACCUUUUUAUCAAAUAACUUUAAUUGAGUUACUUAAAAUUAAUUAAUUUUUUUAUUAGAAAAACAAAACAAACACAUUAAAACUAAUGCAACAAAGAAAACAUAAACAAAACAAUUGGAAAUUAAAAAUGAUGAAAUCAAUAGAUUGAAAUCAAUAGAUAAAAAAAGGGGGUGAAAAUUUAAUGUAAAAAAUUGAAAUCAACAACUAAAAAUUAAGAAAAACUUUGGUAAAAAUUUAAAAUUUGAAAACUUAUCACCAUAAAUGGUGACAUUAUCAAAUUUUGGUAUUUAAUUAAAAGUUAAAAUAGAAAAUUAAAAAUGAAAAAAAUUGACUGCCUACAAGAGAAUAAAAGACAAUUAAAUUUCAGAAAAAACUAAAAAUGAUUAAAAUAUUAUAAGGGAAAAAAUUCAUUUUUGUUUAUUUAAUAAAAAAGUAAUUAUUUUUAAAUAUUUUAAUUAAAGUUAAAAAAUUCAUAUAUGAAUAGGCAUUCAAUAAUACUUAUAUGUUUUUAAAAAUUGAUAAUGUGACUAUUUCUUUGGUGACUAAAACUAUAUAUUUUAGAAUGAUCAUAAAAUAAAUUAUUCUAAAAAUACAAUAUGUCAUUAUUAGAGAUAGAUAUAAAGUCUAAUAUGCUCUUAAGCUAUGAAACUAUUCUUGAAAUUAUUAGAGAUAAAUAUGAAAUUAUUCUUGGAAGAGCAUCAAAUACUCCUUAAUUUCGACUUCCAUUAUAGAGGUUGAGUUCGUUUCAUGUUUUGAGGCUACCUCACAUGGAGUAUGAUUGAAGAGUUUCACAUCCGAGUUUAGAUUUGUGGAUUCGACUUCUAUACUGUUGAUGAUAUAUUGUGACAAUUCAACUACAGUCUUUAUGGUUAAGAACAACAAAAGUGAAAGUCGAAGUAAACAUAUCGACAUUAAGUAUUUAGCUAUAAGGGGACAUGUUAAAGAAAAGAAAGUGGUCAUUGAACACAUUAACACUGAACAAAUGUUAGCUGAUCCUUUGACUAAAGGCAAGCCACCACACAAAGUUAAAGAUCAUACUGUCACUAGUAUCACUGAAUUACUAAUUAAUUGUUAUUAUUACUAGUAUUUAUGGACAAUACGAACCAAGUAGGAGAAUGAUGAAUGUGUUUUAUGGUUUGUGGGAAUAGCCCCAUGUUUGCUUCCAUUGCUAACAUUUUUGAUCCACUUUCACUUUGUAUGUGUGGUAGUGGGACAUGUUUUGGCGGUUUUUGAUGGGGAACCACCGCUAUAAAUCCUCCCAAGCAUAAAAAAAAUUCCAUUUAAUGAAGUUUUCGAGUGCUUAGAAGACUUUGGCGAUUUUCGUGUUUUCAUAUAGCUAAAUUUGACGUCCUUGCCGGUUGUUUGACACACUCAAUAGUGGUGUUACAAAGCCUAGAUUUUACAUAUGGUUCAUGCAAUAUUCGGAGGUAUUUAUGUUCGAUAUUUUCCGCUGCACUUUAACGUUUAAACUGUAAUUUAUACUUACAUUUAAAAUUUAAUUAGUUUUUUAAAUAUUAUAAUUUUAAUUCUAGUAAUUAGCCUAAAACAAUAUUUCUUAUUUUAAUUGUUAAAUAUAAUUAAAAUAUAUUAACAAUUAGUUUAUUAACUCAAAUAUUAUAAUAAAAAAUUUAAAUAAUAAUUAAAAAAAGUUGGCAUCAUAAUUUAAGUUGAUAAUAAAAUAGAAUACUAAAUAAAAAUAAAAUAUUGUAUAUUAUACAAAAAAAAUUAAUACAAAAGUAAAAAAAUAAUAUAUUGUAGUUAAUAAUAUAGUUUUACUUAUUUGUUUAUUCUUUGGCUCUUUCAAAUCAUCAAAAAUAUAAACACAUUUGUAAAUUGUAGAAGUUGUUUUUGUAACCAUAGAAUUCAAAUUUAUUAUGAAUGAUAAUAAACCUACAAAAAGAUAUAUAUAUAUACUAUGUAUAGAUUAUUUUCUUCUAAUUUUUUAAUUAAUACAUAAAACUAUUGAAAAUAAUAUAAGCAUGCAUCAAUAAUAGUUCAUCAUAACUACGAAAAAUAUUUACAUUAAAUUAAUUAAAUAUGAAAGAGAUUUACAUUAAAUUAAUAAACAUAUUUAAUAACGAUGAUUAGAAAUAAUUAUUAAAAUUUUAUAUGAAAACUCCUUUUACUUUUUCAAUAUUUCUCUCAUCCGUUUACAACUUCGGUGUAAUAAUAAUAGUAAUGCUAAUAAUAAACUAAAAAUAACCAUUAAUUUGCUAUUAAUUUGCUCAGAAGGGGUCACUUUGGUAGUAUAAAUAGGGCAUUUCAAUAACGUAUUAUUCAAGCCAAGGGGCAAUAAGCAAUAAGCAUCCCCACAACUUCAAAAAGUUUUUCUUUCUUUCUUUUCCUAUCUCUAUUUGAAAUCUGUUUCAGGGGAAAGAAGAAGGAAAAUUUUAUGAUUUUUUGAGGGCUUGUUAAUAAUAAAUAGAAAACAAUGGCGAACAAUGUUGCUGUUAUUGGUAUCUUUUCGGUGUUAUUGGUGACAGCAGUGGUGGGUGUUACGCAUUUAAAAAAUAAUGGUGAUUCGAAAAGCGGUGAAAUAUCAAGUUCGACGAAAGCGGUGCAAACAACAAGGAGCUGAUAAGAAUGAGUUUCCAAGCAGCGAUAGAGGAAAUAAGGAAAGUGUUGGCGAAUUCAGCGACGAUACAAGACUUGAAUAAAGAUGACAACAACAAAGCAGCCCUUAAGGUUUGUAAAGAAGUGUUGGAUUUAUCAAUAGCUGAUCUGCAACUUUCAUUUGAUAAGCUGGGGGAUACGAGAUGAGUAAGAUCGGUGACUACAUACUGAACCUGAGGGUGUGGUUAAGCGGUGCCUUAACUACCCUACAAACAUGUGUAGACUCAUAUGCGGAGGUAAAUAAUGAACAAGCGGAGAAGAUGAAUUCAAUUUUGAAGACUUCAAUAGAGCUUACCCAAAAUUCUUUAACGAUGGUGACUAAGUUAUCCACCAUCUUGAAUGGCCUUAACAUUCCAGGCCUCAAUAUUGGCACGACUGGGUUUGAACGUAAGCUCCUGUCUAACGAUGGACCUGAGUGGAUGGGCCACGCUGAGAGGAGACUACUUCAAGCAAAACCAACAGAUUUGAAGCCUAAUGUAACAACCCAAAAUUCGUGGGCACCAGAAAAGUGUGUUAUCGGGUCUCCGUCUUAGUGAAAUAAGUUCGAAAAUAAUUAUUAAAAAUAUUUAUGAGUCUAGUAGUGUAUUUAAUUGGGUUUUAAUUAAGUAAAUUUAGCUUAAUUUAGAGUAAUUAGUAAAAAGGAUUAAAUUGAAUAAGGGUAAAAGUUUAAUUAUAGAUUAAAGAAAAAUUAGAAGGACUUAAGAGGAAAUUAAACUAUUUCCUAUAGCUGAGGCGGUUUAACGUGGAAAAUAUCAAAAAUUUUAUUGAUUUAAAAAAAAUAUAUAUAUUUAAUAAUUAAGUAUAUUAUAUUAUAUUAUAUUAUAUUAUAUUAUAUUAUAUUAUUAUUAUAUAUAAAAGAAACAAAUAAGUUAAAAGAAACAGAAUGAAAGCAAACGAAACAGAGAAGAACAGGGGAGAAAGAAAGGAAAGAAGAAAGAAAAGGGGAAAUAAGGUUUAUGAAGCUUGGAGUUAAUUGGUAAGCUCAACCAAGUCCUUUUCUCAUAAUUUUGAUAUUUUAGAAGUCUUAAAACAAGUUUUUGAUGAAAUUAAGUUGUUAGUUUGGAAGUUCUUAGGUUUUUAAACAAAGUUCAUGUUGAAUAAAAUGAUGAAAUAGGUGUUUAAUUGAAUGAAAUUCAAGUUAGAAUAGAUAUAAGGAUUGAAUUGCAAAGUAAGCUAUAAGUUUUGUGUUUUAGGGACUAAAUUGAGGAAAAUUCGGAAUUAAGAAAAUAUUUUGAAAAUUUAAUAGUUAAAUUUGAGUUUAAAUGAAAUUUGAAUAGGAAUAAGGUGUGAAUUGGUGUUAUAAAUUUGGUUAUUAACAUUUUACAUCAAAACAGUUUUGGGAAGUAGCAAUGGUCUGACUUUGAAAAUUCACUAAAAAUUUUAUAAAUUGAACUAGAGAAUGAACAAAAUAUGGAAUUAAAUCUUAUUGAGUCUAUUUUCUUUAGUAGAAACAGUGUAAGCAAUUAAUUGAUGAAUCAAGAGAUAUUUGAAAUUUUGUAAUACUGGUUCGGGGUGAUUUCGAGAUGCCCUGUUUUAACUUUGGAAAAUCAUUAAAAAUUGUACAAAAAUUAUUAUGGAGUGUAAUUUAUAUAUGUGAACUCCUUAAUGAAUCUAGUUUCAAAAUAAAUAAACAAGAACCUUAUUCGAGUUCUGUACAAUGAGAUAAUUUAUUUUUAGUAGAGAGAGGUCAGAACUGUCAAAUGAAAUAACAGGGGAGUAUUUAAUGAAUAAACUGUACUAAAUGGCUAGACCAAAAAUUCUGAAAAUUUUAUGGUUAGAAGAUAUAUGAGUCUAGUUUUAAGGAAAAUUUACGGAUAUUAAUUUGGAGUUUCGUAGCUCAAGAUAUAAAUAAUUUAGUAACAAUGACUCAAGUAGACAGCUUAAUGGUGAAAUUAUAUAUAUACAUUAAAAAUGGUUAAAUUUGCAUGUUUAGGCUCAUGAAUUAAAUUGAAUCAUGUUGUAUUAAUGAUUAUAAAUUAUUAUUUUUGUAGCCAACAAAGAACCUGAAGCAUCAGCAUCGAAAGGAAAGGAGAAAGUCAUCGAGGACUAAAACGGGAGAAUUAUGGUGUGUAUUACUAUAAUUCGAAUUUUAAUUAUUAUUGAUUGCUGAAUUUUUUUUAUUGUUAUGUAUGGUAAGUAAGACUUGAGGUAAGUAUGUGAAAUUGAUAUGAAUAUUGAGUGAAAAUGAAAGUGAUGCAAAUUGAAUCAAAUUGAAUUGAAUAAGUGAAUUAUGGAAUAUGUAAUUAUUUGAGAAGCGUAUUGAUUGAAAAAUGUUUGGCGAUUUGAAUUGUGAAUUGAAAGUGAUAUAGGAUUGAGAAAGUGAAUUGAAUACCCUAUUAACUAGUCGGGCUAAGUCGGAUAUAGUUGGCAAGCCAUAGGAUUGGAAGUGUUCAGGGAUACUUCGACCUCGAGUCGAUGAGACACUGGGUGUCACUAUAUUUCUUCGGAUAGAUUCGAUGAGGUACCGGGUACCAACUUUACUUCGGCUAGGCCGAUGAGACACUGGGUGUCAACUAUUACUUCGAACUAUCCGAUGAGGCACUGGGUGCCAUAUUGGUGUGUUUGGUUGGAUCCGUGUAUCCGCCAAAGUCCGAGUUACGUUAAUAGGGUGAAAAAUUGAAAUGUGAAUUUGAGGCAUUGAAACGAGAAAAAUAAAUUGAAUUACGAAUUGAAAUUGGAAUUGUGAUAAUAAGAGAAAAGUAUGAAAUGUAUAUUCAUAAGUGAUAUAAAUUUAAGUUUGAGAAAAUACAUUGAUUUAUGAAUUAGUACAUAUGACAUUAAUUGUUAGGUAUUUUGAUAUUUAUGUUUUUACUAUUGUUGAUAUAAUUUGAAUUAUGGUAAUAUCACUGAGUAUAUCCAUACUCAGCGUACGGUUGUUUCCGUGCGCAGAUUAGUAGAAGUCAAGUGUCCCAGUUCAGCAUCCAGAACAUUCCCGACUCCAACACAAAUUUGGUGAUGUAUAUUUUUCUUUUGGGUAAAGGUGGCAUGUACAUAUGUGUUAUAUAGUCACUUGAAUAUGCAUAUUACUUUGGGUAGUGAAGGUUGAAUUAUAAGAUUUAGAUGGUUAAAUGAAAUGGUAAGAAAAGUAUAUGAUAGUUAUUAAGUUGAAAUUAUGUUAAUGAUAUAAAUAUUAGUUAUAUGAAUGUGAAAAAUUGGUGCUGGUUGUUUUAGUUUGAAUUUGCAGGAGGUUUUAGGUAAAAAUAAGCAGAAAUGCUGCCGAAAUUUUUAUAAAAAAAAAGAAAUAAAAAAAAAUUUAAAAUAUUCGAACAAGUCCCGUUCUACUUUUAAUACGUGCUUGAACUUUGAGAGUUCAAGAUAGGGACUCAAUUAUUAUAUUAUACUAUGAAAAUUUUUAAUAAUUGUAAAUUAUUAGUAAGUUGUCUGAUAUGUCCGGUAAUGCCUCAUAACCUCGUUUCGGUAACAGUUUGGGGUUAGGAGGUGUUACACCUAACGUUGUGGUUGCUAAGGAUGGUAGUGGAAAAUAUGAUACCAUCACCAAGGCCUUGGCUGAAGUCCCUCCAAAAAGCCCUAAUCGAUUUAUUAUUCACAUUAAGGCUGGUACUUACAAGGAACAAGUCCUUUUACCCAAGGAGAUGACUAAUGUUAUGUUAAUCGGUGAUGGCCCAACUAAGACCAUCAUCACCAAUGACCUUAACUGCAUUAGGGAUCAUCCGCUUAAAACAUUCGGCACUGCAACAGUUGGUAAGUAGUAUUAUAUACAUAUAAGUUUUGGUGGUGAGGUGAGGUGAUUAACUAGUAUGAAUGUUUGUGAAAUAUUGUAGGUGUGGACGGGGCUGGUUUCAUGGCCAGGGACAUUGGAUUCGAGAAUACAGCAGGACCCCCUGGUCAUCAAGCAGUAGCUUUUAGGGCAACAUGUGAUAUGGUUAUCAUGUUCAAUUGUCAUUUUAAUGGGUACCAAGACACCCUUUAUGCUCACAAACAAAAACAAUUUUAUAGGGAUUGUCUCAUCAGCGGGACGGUGGACUUCAUCUUCGGGGAUGCUGCGAGCAUAUUCCAAAAUUGUCUGAUCAUCGCGAGGAAGCCAGGUGAAAACCAGAACAACAUGAUUACAGCCCACGGAAGGAAAUUUCCAUACACUCACUCAGCCAUUGUGCUUCAAAAUUGUACCAUCUCGGGCGCCCCUGACUACCUUCCGGUGAAGGACAAGAGCAAGACGUACCUUGGUCGUCCCUGGAAAGCUUUGGCGAGGACCAUCAUAAUGCAAAGCAAUAUUGAUGACAUUAUUACACCAGAGGGUUUGUAACACCCCGUACCCGAGACCAUUGCCGGAGUCGGACACGAGGGGUUCACAGACUAAAUUCGCUUACUAUCGCAGUCCAUUUUAAAUUUUUCCAGACAGCUGGCUAACUGUGUCGCUGUCACCUUAAAAAUCAUAUCUUGAGUUUCACAACUCGAAAAUCAGUUUCGUGAUUUUUCCCUGAAACUAGACUCCUAUAUCCAUCUACAUAUUCUUUUCUAGAAUUUUUGGUCGGGCCAAUUAGUACAGUUUAUUAGUUAAAGUCUCCCCUGUUACAGGGUGCGACUACACUGACCUUCAUGCAUUACAAUUCAGAUAUCUCCCUGACAGGGCUUCAAUACUGAUGCCGUUUGUUUCUAUAGAAACUAGACUCAGAGAGGAAUCUAUACAUAUAUGGCAUGACUCCUAAUUAUCUCUGGUUAAUUUAUAAUGAAUUUCCAAAGUCGGAACAGGGAAUCCAGAAACCGUUCUCGCCCUGUCUCACAAAAACCUAAUUAUCUCUUAACAUACCACUCAUUUGACCGUUUCGUUUCUUCCAUAUGAAAGUGGAUUCAUCAAGGUUCAUUUAAAUAAUUGAUUCACUAUUUAAUUCUAUUCCUACUAUUUUUAGUGAUUUUCCAAAUCUACAUCACUGCUGCUGUCAGCAUCUGCCUUUAAGGUAGACUUUACCUAUUUCAUAGUUUCCAUGAUUCAACUAGCCCUUUUAGCAUAAAUAGCACAAAUUAUGAUAGUGAUUAACCAUUCCCAUGGCCAAUCCUUGUUAAGCAUAUCCACACCUCUCAAUAACCAUAUCCAUACCAAAUGAUUAUAACAUUAUGCUCAAACAUAUAUAAGCCAUUUUCGCAUGGCUAUCCAAAAUUAUACAAAUCCAAAGGGUCCAUGACCCACUACAAAAAGGGUAGUCCUAUACAUGCCAUUUUCAGAGUUCAACCAAAAGUGUACCAAAAGGGCUUUGAUAGUGUGGGCGACUUCGACUUCAAUAAUCCCGAGUCCGAUAGCUGACGAACCAAAAUCUAUAAAACAGAGAUUCAAAGAACGGAGUAAGCAUUUAAUGCUUAGUAAGUUUUAAGCAAGACAAAGUGUUCUCAAUCACUAUUAUUGGUCAUUCAUUUCAACUGUUCGAUGAAGUUAAUCUAGAGCUUCAUCUCGAUCUAUAAUAUCAUUAAACGCAACACUUGGCUGCCACAUAUAUACUUUCGAAUAAUAAUGACCUAGAUGGUCAAAUAUUUCUAAAGCACAUUCUCACAUUUGGAGUUAUAAUAUUAAUCACAUUUACCUACCUCUUUGAUACUGAUAAUUCACCUCGAAAUCACUCCACCGAUGAGUAAGUAAUACGUACCUGAACAUCUUGAAUACAUAAUACUUAUUUGAUGGUAACUUAAUGCAGAUACUCAAUAUCAAAGUCUUACUUGAAUCCUAGCAUUUAGCCGUCGGGUCUUUAAAGCUCGGAUAUAGUACGAGCACGAAGCCUACGGACAUUAAUCAGGAUAAUAUUCUCGCAUAAAGCCUGCGGGGUUUUAACCCGGAUAUAGUACUGACACAAUUGCCCUUCGGGACUUAUCACAUUUAUACACUUCCACAUCCAUCACAUUGGCCAUUCGGCCUUAUCACAUAUAUACACUUUCACAUUCAUCACAUUGGCCAUUCGGCCUUAUCUCAUAUAUGCAUGUUCACAUUCAUCACAUUGGCCAUUCGGCCUUAUCACACAUACACAUGUUCACAUUCAUCACAUUGGCCAUUCGGCCUUAUCACACAUACACAUGUUCACAUUCAUCACAUUGGCCAUUCGGCCUUAUCACACAUACACAUGUUCACAUUCAUCACAUUGACCAUUCGGCCUUAUCACGCAUAUAUACUUUCACAUUCAUCACAUUGGCCACUCGGCCCUAUCACAUAUAUAUACUUGUACAUCAAUUUCAUCAUAACAAAAUUGACUAGGUAUACUAGUCAUUUGUGGCUUAUAGCUUCACUUUAAUACGAAUUUGGUACUUUGAUUACCAAUGUUUAAUCGAUAGCUUAUAAGCAACUCAAAUGGUUUUAUUAAGGUUUACAACAAAAUUCCAAAUUCAGCACAAGCUGUUUUUUUUCUGAGCAACAGUCAUUAAAUUAUUCGUAAAUGGAGCUACGAAACUCCAAAUGGAGUGCCGUUAAUUUUCCCUGGAAAUAGACUCAUACAUAUCUUAUCCAGAAAAUUUUCAGAAUUUUUAGUUUGGCCAAUCAAUACCAGAUUUUUCUUAAAGUUUCCCCUGUUUCACUAUUUGACUAAUCUGACCACUCUUCACUACGAAUCAAAUUUCUCAUUGUACGGAAUUAAAAAUGUGUUCUAUUUGAUUUCAUUUGAAACUAGACUCAUUAAGGAGUCUAGGCAUAUAAAUUUUAUCUUAUAACCAUUUUUUUACAAAUUAUAAUGAUUUUUCUAAAAAUAGAACAGGGGAUUUCGGAGUCAUUCUGACACUGUCCCACACAACUUUAAAUAUCUGUUUAUAGGAAAUUUCUUUGCUUCCACGGUCUCUUUUAUAAGAAACUAGACUAAAUAAGCUUUGAUUACAUAUUUUAUUCAGCCUAUAAUUCUACACCAACAAUUUAUAGUGAUUUUCUAAAAUCACGUUACUGCUGCUGUCCAAAGCAAAUUAUUACAAUUUGCUCUUAAAUUUCCAAGUCCAAACACUUAUGAACUUACCAUUUGAGUUUAAGACAUAUUAUGGCCACAUCAUAUCUUAUUAAAUCAACUCAUUAUGUCCUAUUAUGACUGAAUUUACUCAACGUUUAAUCACUUAAAACUUACCUCGGAUGUGGUCGAACGAUUUCGGCGGCUAUUCGAUCACUUUUUUCCUUCCCUUUAUCGGAUUUAGUUCCCCUUUGCUCUUGAGCUUAAUUUAACAAAUAAAUUGAUUUAAUCAUUUGAACAUCGAAAAGAGAAAAUCAAGGUACUUAACCCAUAUAUAUAUACAUUAGACAUUAAAGUCACAUACAUAUGAAAUCAUGAAUCAACUCAACAUAUUAACCCACACUCUCUUUUAGCCGAUUGUCUAAGCCAAGAUUAAGCCACCAAUAUGCUUACUUAUGGCCGAACAUACACAUCAACUUAUGUACUCAUUCAUGUGGCCGAACAUACAUGUCUAUGUUGAGGCCGAUUGCAACACUUAAUACAUUCUACAAGUAUGGUCACUUGUAUUGACUAAACACCAUUUUGUUUCAAGUUCAAAACUUGGCCAAAACACAUAUAUACACUAGUAAAGCAUCCUCUCCCUUUCCAUCAAUUCAACACAUGCAUUACUCAUUAAUAUACAAAAUUAUAUUCGGCCUUAGCACACAACUUGCUAGCCGAUUCUUCUCCAUCUAGCAACUAAUGCACAUAUGUGCUCAUUUGUUAGACUCUACUUCAUCUAACAACAACCAUAUUUUCCCUUCUACUUCCUACCAUGGCCGGAUGCUCAAGAUACCUCAAUAUCGAAACUUUUAGCUUGGAUUGCUUAAAGAACUUGGUGAUGAGUUCAAAUUUACCUAACACCUCAAGCCUCAUAACACAUCUAUAUAGCUAACAUGCUAAUAGUCUCAAGGCUUCAACUAAAACUUUUGAAGCCUCUUAGUCGAAUACUAACUCUCUAAUAAUCCCAAAUCCAUCCAUGAGAUAGUUAGAAUUUAGACUAAUCAUCCAAGGGAUGUAUGAACUUUCAAAGUAACACUAAACAUACCUUAAUCUAGUGAGCCUUCAUAGCCGAUUUUUCUCCAAGCUCAUUCCCUUCCUUUCUUUCUUCUAUUCGGCCAAAGAUGUUCAAGGAUGAACACUUUUUUUUUCUUUGUUUCCUUUCUUCCAUUCACGGCAAAGGGGGGGCAUGGAUGAGACCAUUUUUUUUCAUCACUCCACCUUUUUGCAUUACUUUAAUCCUAACCCAUUUUUUUUAUUCUUUCUAACAUAACUCACUAACACAACAUGUUUGCAACAUGUUUCCACCCAUAGCAUGGCCGGCCACUAUGUUUUAAUUUUGGGUAAUUUGAAAUGCAAACCCAUCAUUUCACAACAUGCAUUAUUAGGCCACUUUACAUUUGCCUAGCACAUUUCCAAAUUUUCUCACAUAAGUCCUAUUUGAUAAAAUUCACUUACUAUUAACAAAAUUCAAACAUGAAAUUUUCACACAUGCAUAUGUACAUAUAAUGAGCAUCAACUAUGACGGUUAAUUAUCUUUAUGACUCGGUUUAGUGGUCCCGAAACCACUUUCCGACUAGGGUCACUUUAGGGGUGUCACAGGGUUACUCCCCCAUGCAAGGCACCGUAGGAAUAGACACUGGUUACUUUGUAGAGUUCCAAAAUAGGGGACCCGGUUCCAAAACUGAAGGCAGGGUCAAAUGGCCAUCUAUCAAGACAAUCGAUAUAAAUGAAGCCAAGAAAUGGACUCCUGGCGUCUUUCUUGAAACUGAAACUGACAAAUGGAUUUCGCAAACUGGCACUCCUUGUUAUCCUGACAUGGUCCCUGGAGUGUGAACUCCCAAAACCAUCGCCAUUAGUAUUCUUUUAUUAUCAUUAUUAGUAAUCAUGUUGUCGAUUAUUGAUUAAGUUAAAAGAUAUUUUAACCUUAAGUAUUUGUUAUUUUAACUUAUUGGUAAUGAUUAUGUUUAAACUUUUAUUCAAGUUAUAAUUCUAUUAUAAAGUUAAUAAAUAAAGUUAUAGUAACCUCCCCAACUUGGCCUAAACAUUAGAUCUGAAUUCAGAAGAUUAUAUUAGCCACCGAAAUGACCUUGUAAGUUAUCAGAAUUUUUGAAAACGGUCAUUUUAAAACAUUUGAUUAUUUUAGAAGAAAACCUAGAUAAUUACCGAUUUAUUUACUAUUCAAAAUUCUUAUUUAUAAUUUAGCAGCAUAAAAGUAAUAAUAGUUUGUAUUUUUAAUAAAAACCAAUGUUCAUGCAUAAUUAAUUAAUAUUCAUAUUUAAAAAUCCUAAAAUCAAAUUAAAUGUCAUGCAGGCUGUAAAAUAAAAACCAAAUCCUAAGUUCUAUAUAACAUGUAACAACCCGUUUUCAAUGAAAUCGAAAUAGUGGUUUCGGGACCAUAAAUCCAAGUCAGAAAGAAAAUUUAUUUUAAUAUUAUUGCAUGGUCUACAUUAUGAUAGGAAAGACGUAUGAAAAUUUUGAUAAGAAAAUUUUAUCGAUUUUAUGUAUAAUUAGGAGGAAAGGACCAAAUUGCAUAAAGUGCAAAAGUUGAAUUCUAGUAGCUAAAAGGAUUAAAUAGUUAUGGAAUUCAAAACUUGGGGUCCUUAUAUAAUAAUUAUACCAUUAAGAGAAGUUAUUAGAUAUUUAUGAUAAAUCAUCCAUGGAAAUUUAAGAAAAGAAAAGGAUUAAAUUGGAAAGUUAAAAAAUUAAAAGAUGAUAAGUUAAUUAAAAGAAUAAAAUAAGUUUAUUUCAUCAUCUUCUCCAAAUUUUCUAUGGAAACCCUAGCUUAGAAAAAGAGAUUCAAGCAAGCUUAAUUAGGUAAGUAAUCAUGUCCCGGUUUUAGUAAUUUUUACAUUUCUGAGAUCGUAAUAACCUAAUCUAUUUAUUUGGGGAUCAAUUUGCAAAGUUAUAAAAGUAUUUAAAAUUUUCCAUGGAUUAUUAUGCUGAAAUUUUGAAAUUUAAGGUAGAAAAUGAAAGGUUGUUGAUAGAUAAAUGAUAAACUGUAAUUUAUACAUAUUUUUACCCCAUGCUUAACGCAUUUUAUGGAUGAUUUUUCCUUAGAAUUAGUGAAUUCGAUGCUCCUAAUGCCUUAAUUUCAUGUUUUAUACUUAGGUGAGCAUAGGAGAGCGAAAGGAACGAGAAACGAGCCAAAAAUGGAGAAAAUGGGCCAAAGUACGAAAUCAACACGGCCUGGACUUCCUCACACAGACAGCCCACGCGGCCGUGUCAAUUUGGCAGAAUCGAAGCACGACUCACAUGGGUAGAACACACGCCCGUGCCAAUCUAACAGGCUCGACACGGCCUGAAGUAAUCGCACACGGGCAUGUCAUAUAGGCGUGUCCCUGCCGAGCCCAAGUUUAGUCCAAUUCGGAAAAUGCCAAUUUUGAGGGUUUUUAGGCAUUCCAAAGCUUAUAAAUACAACCUGGAGGAGGAAGAAAAAGGGGAGGCACAGAGAGGAAGGAAUGAAUUACUUGAAGGAAGCCGAUUGAUCCAUCUCAGAAGCCGAAUUCAUCGUCAAGACUGAAGAUCUCCCUUCAAUUUCCCUUCAGGGUUUUGGGAUUUCUUUAUGUUUUGUAUUCAUUAUUCUUCUGAGAUGUUUUCCUUUUUAGUUAUGAACUAAAUCCCCUAAAUACCUAAGGGGGAUGAAACCUAAGACGAAUCUUGUUAUUAUUUUCUGAAUUGUAUGAUAAAUAUUUAACUUGUUCUUAAUUAUGUGUUCUUAAUUCUUGUUUUGAUAUCCUAGGAUACUGAUUCAAGAUAAGCUCUUAUUCAGAGGAGGAAUAGACCCUGUCUAAGAGUACAUUUGUCAUAAUUAAGCGGAGUUGCUUGCGCGCCUAGAUAUAGGGUGACAAGAUUUUGUCGGAUUAGGGUGAAACCUAAUAAGGGGAUCCAUAGAUCGAGUUAAUGCAACCCUAAGAUGUUAAUUAGAGAAAAGUUUUAAUUAUUCAAUCUAGGGAUUAGACGUUAUUAGUCUUGAAUAGGAAUAAUAACAUAACUUAAGGAUCUCUACGAAACAAGUUAAAUGAAUAAAUCGUCCGAUUCAGAGUCAGAAUAACAAGUGAAGUUUAGGUGGAUUUUUCCUUAGGUAUUGUCUUAAUUCAAUCGUUUUUCCAAUAGUAAUUCCCCAAUUCUAUUUUCUGUGAAUUCUUAAUUUAGAUAAUUAGUUAGUUAAAACAAACCCCCUUAUUUUUAGGCUAGAUAAUAAAAAGACAGUCAUUACUAGUACUUUUAGUUCCUUUGGGUUCGACAAUCCGGUCUUGCUAAAGCUAUACUACUAUUCGAUAAGUACACUUUCCUUCAUCGUGAUAAGAGUUAGUUUCGAGAACGAUUCAUUAUAAAUAUUUAAAACCUGUCGCAAAUAUCGCGUAUCAAUAAACAACUUUUGUAAAGUGAAUUUUGAUGAAAUCGUGAUUUAGGGACUAAAUUGUAAAGAUAUAAAAUUCAAUGAAAUUUUCUAAUUUUUAUGAAAUAUAUCGACUGUUUUUGUUAUAUGAAAAAUUCGACUAGGCUUGGAAUAAGGAUUAAAUUGCAUGAAUUUCAUUUUCCGAGCCUAGGGAUGAAAUUGGAAUUAAUAAAAGUAUAGGUGCAAAAUUGUACUUUUUCCUAAAAUGUGAAUUUGAGUGAAUUGAAUAUGAAUUUCAUUAAAUUGAGUUAAAUUUAUCCGUAUAGAUCUAGAUAGACCUAGUACGAAAUUGGAUCGAGGAAAAUAAAAAGUUUCGGAUUAGCAGAUUCUCAUAUAUGAACAAGUAUCGAGGUAAGUUCAUGUAACUAUCACUAUAGGAAAAUAGGGCUUUAGCGGCGUUUUAUCAAAAAACGCCGAAAAAAUUAUAAAAAACUGAGCAAUAGCGACGUUUUUGCUAAAACGCCGCUAAAGACCAGAGCAUUAGCGGCGCUUUUGGUAAAACGCCGCUAAAGACCAAAGCAUUAGCGACGUUUUUGGUAAAACGCCACUAAAAGUCAUAUAACUCUUAAAAUCCUAAACCCCAAAAAACAUAAAACACCAAUCUAUAACCCUAAAAUAGUAAACCUUUAAACCCUAACAAGCCGUAAACACUAAACUAUAACACCUAAAAUCCUAAACGUCGCAAUAGGUGCAUUUUUAGUGGCGCUAGUUUAAAUUAUAGGUUAAUGUUUGGGGUUUAUGGUCUAGGAUUUAUGAUUUAGGGUUUUGGAUUUAGGGGUUGGGGUUUAGGGGUAAAUAUAGUGAACUACUUAACUUGUGUAUCUUGGAUUUUUUUAUAAUAUAAAUCUAAAUAAGAUAAAUAUAAAUUAUUAUUUUAAAAAUAUAUAUAUCAAAAUGGGUUAAAUCCCAAAAGUAUAAAUUAUGAACACAAUUAUUGAUAUAAUAUCAUUUUAUAUUUAUAUAUUGCAUACAUAAAUAUUUAUAUUUAUUCAAUAUAAAAAUAUAUUGAUGUAUUUAUUUUUUAAAACGUGUAUGAUUAAAUCAAAAUUAAAGUUUUAACUAUACAUUUAAACCACAAUUAAAAUUUUAAGUCUACAAUUACACAUUAAACCGAAAUUCAUAUAUAAUUCUGAAAUGUAUCUCUAUCAAAAUUUAGGUGUAUACAUAUAAUUAAAUAUAAUUUAAAUUAUUUAAGAGAUAAUGAUAAAGUUUAUAUAUAUAAAAACAAAAUAAAAAAUUUUUAACAGAGCAAAAAAGUGAGAAAAUGACUUUUUGUGGCGUUUUUAUUAAAAAUGUCGCAAAAAAAUAAACAAUAGUGGCGUUUUUUAUAAUUUUUUACACAAAACGGUACGGUGUUGUUACCCAAAAUGCAUUAGACUUUUUCGUUCCCCCUUCCCCCCGAGAUCCCAAAAUUUGACAAGAAAUCUUUCUUUCUUCCCUCCUUUCUUUCCCCAAAAUCGGUUCCCUCCCCCCUCCCCAAAGAAAUCCUAAAAUUUCACUUGAAAUUUCUUCUCUUUUCUUUCCCAUUUUAUUUUUCCCAAACCAUUUCUCCCCUACCCCGAUUCCCUUUAUUUUUUCCCCCAAUUUCCCCAAAUUGGUAACUCCAUGAUGUUCUCUCUCUGAUAUGUUUGCUUAUUGGAUGUAUUGCUCGGACUUUAUAUUGUUGUUUGAAAUAUCUUCACUGAAAUUGGUCAAUUGAACCCCUUAUCCAUGCCCGCCGAUCCCAAGCCCUCCUACGCCUUCAGCUCCCUCCGUGAUCGUAGUAGGGACAUUCUCAGCGUCGUCGUCGCUCUCCUCUUCGGCGUCGGCUGUGGCUCUCUCACUGCCGCCGCCAUUUACUUGGUCUAGAUUAUCUUCACGGCCGUUGCGAGUACCAUGAGGAUGAUGAGUCUGACGAAGAAUUUAGCCCUAAAAAAUGGGGUAUGUCAACAUUCCUGCGAAUCCUGCUGUUAACGUUAAGGAAUCCUGCUGUUAACGUUAAAGAUGAUUAAGGUUGAUGGCUGGAAAAGAAAUCAUCUUGUUUAUUACUCAAAAUUGUUGGUAAGGGUGUAUGAUUUAUAGACUUGUAGAUGUAACUAGAGCUCUACCAUCAAUAGAUAGGAAAAGUUACUGGACAAUUAUACAUUAUUGUUUGAUAUAUUUAUUAUUUUACUUAAUAUUUGACUAUCUUUAUAUAUGGACACUAUUUUAGUUGUAUAAGAACUAAGACUUUAUCCUUUAUAUGUAUCAGCAAGCCAUAAAACAUAAAGAUUUAAGUAACCAUAGGAAGUUACUAUGGAAUAGAAGGCUAGGAUGCAAUGCUCUAUAAUUUGAAAUAAUUUCUCUUCAUCUGGCCUCUUAAAUUUUCAUGGAAUCUCUACACCUAGGAUUCUACUCCUCAAUGAUUGUCUUCUAAAGAUCACCAUUAACAGUGAGCAUGUUUAUGUUUCUAAAAGCAAGUUAUUUUGCAUUUGAAGUAUUUGUUUCAAGCUAAUUUAGGGUUGCCAGUGACGUCUUGGUUUAAUGGCAAGGAGGAGGCUAUGGGACUUUGAGAUCCCUAGUUUGAGUCUCACCAUGUGUGGGCUUAGUGUAUUUUGGAGAUGGACAGAUGUAUUUUGGAGAUGGGAGCCAUACAUGCUGGUGACUUCAUGGUGAGUUCCUCUCUUUGCCAUAUGUUUGGGAGCAUUUCCAUGGUUGAAUAUUGAAUUAUUUAUUUUUUCUUACCAUUUAUGGUUGCUGCUGACUUUAUUUUGUUUAAUUAUUAGAGGCGGUUAAGUUGAUUAACUGCUUGAUUGGGAAAGAAUUAGAAAUGUUUGAGUUAUUAUUCGAAUGGUGAACUAAAGAAAAAGAAGCUGAUAGAGCAGUAACUGACAAUUAUGGUUGAGAUUUUGCAAUAAUUGCAUACUUUUUAAAGAUUAUUAUUAUAAUGGUGACUUAUGAAAUGUUGGUAGUGAGAACCAACACCUUUUGGGAAUAUGGAUGUUUAUAAGUAUCUUGCUAUUUAUUUUCUCGAAAUCAUUAGUCAACUUCAUUGAUAGUUCGGGUAUUCCAUGUUCUUGCCAAUUAGGUAGAUCCUUGCAACCAAAUUGUUCAUUCAAUUCGGUUACUUGUCUUUUGCAUGUUUUGGAAAGUUUAAAGACACUGAAAGGAAAAGAAAUAAAAUAAAAUGAUUCUCCUUUACAUUAUUCCAUGACUUCUCACAGAUGUCAUCUUAUUUUCUCCCAUUGUUUAUCUUUACUGCUUUUUUAACUCUUGGAGCUUGAUAAGAUGAAUGUUUUAUUCACUUAAUAUAUACUUGCUAACAAGUUGCAUAAUUUUCGCAGGCAGAGCCCUAUAUCAAUUGCAGCUGCUGUUAUUUAUAUAAUAACAUAGCUUUCGAAUGAUAAGAAGCCACUUAAAGGUUUGAUAUUAUUUCCUUCUUACUUAUUAACUAAAAUUAAGAUGUUUCAUGUACUCCUUUUAGGUGCUGAGGUUUUAUAUCGAAUAACCCAACAUGGUGUCUAAGCAAUGUUUUUGUGUAUUAAAAUUUUAAAAAAAAGAACGGUGACAUCAAAAAAUUUUGAGCUACUGUUAUGUUUCUCUGAAAAAUGAACAAAUGAAUGCGCAGAUAUUUCUGUUGCUACGGGAGUUGCGGAAGGGACAAUCCGAAAUUCAUAAAAGGAUCUUUAUCCCCAUGUGUCCAAGAUAAUACCAAACUGGUAUGCCAAGGAAGAAGAUAUCAAGAACCUAUGCAGUCCUUGAAUUACAGAACAGACAAUAAUGGAGAUACCACAAACAAAACCCUCAAAGUGCUGAGUUCUCUCUCUCGGGAUCUCGUGGAACUCUCGGUACAUUCUGAUAAUGAUGUUCUAUUUUUUUUUUAUGCGUGUUUGAAGUUUUAGCAAAUAUUUUGAGGCUGUAUCAUUGCUGUUUAUCACCUAUAAUUUAUUCCACUAGGAUUCUUUAUAUCUUUCUUACAUUUGGCAGAUUAGUACGCAUAACACCUGGCGUAGGUAGAUUUGUUGCUAGGAGUUACAGUCCAAGGUGAGAAAAAUCUCUCCACAACUAAGGUUCUUUCUACCGUAAAUUAUUGAUAAUUAUUUACUACUGAUUGCUUGCAGACAGUUGGUCAGCGCGUCACCUGGAAUUCCAUUAUUUGAGAUUUUUGUGGUUAAAGAAGAUGAAGAAAUAUAUCUUAUGCAGGUAAAGUAGUAAUGUGCCUUAAUUUAUUAUUAUUUUUUGUUUGGGGCAAGGGGCAUAAAUUGAUUCUAAAUUAUGACAUCUUCAAAAUUUGGUGAAUUCAGAGUAUUUAAUGAUACCAUGAGUCAUGAGUGCAGUUAAAUGCUGUGUGUGGUUUGUUUGCUUUGUGUGGCUUUUUGCUGAUUGAUAUGAGUUGAAAUACUUUGGCACCAUGCCUUAGUGGCAUCAACUAGUACGACCACGUUUGGAGGGAUCUUGAGUCUUAGAUAUGUGGAACCUCUUCGAGAGAGAUUUGGGUUAAUCCACUUUGACUCUGGAAUUCCAUUAGGUUGGUUAAGUAGCUGCUAGGUUAUCGAUCAUAGUUCAUAACUUCCUUUCUGAUCCAAUCAUAGUAUAGAAGGGUCUACAGAUUGAUAAGAUAAACAGAAAAAUGAAGGCCUUGCUAAUUAGAAUCAGUCUUUUUUUUUUGGGUAAAGUAGAAAAUGAACAAAAAGAAAGAAAGAGAGCAUGUUUUCCUUGGCUAGGAAGAUCUUGGUACAACAGUAGCUCAAGGACCUUUCAGUUAUAGUUCAUGGUUAGAUAUACUGUUCAUAAGUGUUUAUCUAAGUACUUAAUUGGGGCUUCCUUUGUGUGUUUUGCUUGUCAUCUUUUUCACGAACACCAUAUCUGAAUUGCUUUUGGAUAAGUGCUUUGCUGCAUGCUGCUUUCUCUGUUUCGCAUCAUGAAACAGUUCUGGGUGUGUUUGUUCAGUAACUGAGCCUUGCUGCAGUAGGAUAAAUUUUUUGGAUUAUAUAAUUUGGUCCAUGGAAUCUUGAAAUUCUGGAUUAAAUAUUUUGGGUGGUAAAUCUGCCUAAACAUGGAUAUUCUUAGACGUGUAAUGUUAUUCCUGUGUAAGUUUGGAACAUGAUAUUUUCAUUUUAUUUAACUGUAAGUUGGUUUCUGGAUGCAUAUACACAUGUUAUGUAUCUAUUUGCAUGUUAGUCUUCGGCAUCUCUUAACCAGUGUGUGAUGUAUAUCUCCUGUAAAGUGAUCUAAAGUCUUCUAAUACAAUCUGUUGCAGGUAGUUUAUUUGCAGCGUGCUAAAGGAAGUUCUAUGAAUAGUACCACCUCACCUUCCAGGCCUACAAAUACCCCAUCCUAUGACCAUGAAAAGCUACUUACCAGAAAAUUUUUGAUUAAUUCAAUCUAUCUAUUGGACGUUUUCAGUAAACCAUUAAGCAUGCUCUAAUGCUCAUACAGACCAAGGCAUGAACCCUGUUAUUGAAUUCUUUCAUUUUCUUCCCUAGGUUGCAUUAUGAGAAGCAAUGCUAUCUGAUAUAUUGUGUUCAAUAUGAACAAUGUAUGUCAAUGUAUUGAAUUUGGUGUAAGGUUUGCCUGAAUAUCUCUACUAUCUCAUUCAUUUGACUUUAUUUAGAACCUCGUAUUGAGUACGUUAAUUCAUACUUUUGAGACUUCUAAUUGAUGGGAAAACUUUAAAAUACAGGUUGCAUGUUACAAAGGUCAGGGAAGAAUAGAAGAAUUUGUUUUCCGUAACCCGCGAUGGGUCGAUGGCGAACUUCUCCAACUUAAUGGCAAGGUAAUAAAAUAUUCAGAACUUUAUGCUAAUAAUAUGAUGUGACUUGCAACUUAAAAUUAUUUUGUUGAGUUUUCAAAACUAUAUGAAUUGAAGGAAAAUCCCUUGUGGAUGGUCAUAUGCAGGGCAUUGGACCCUAUGUCAAAGGAGCUGAUCUAGGUUUCCUUUACAUUGUGCCCGAGCAAAGUUUCCUUGUGCUACACAACCGUUUAAUAUAUAAAUAUAUUUGUAUAAAGUAGUUUAAUUUUUUUACUAAUUUAAAUAUUUUUUUAUUUUUAUAUUUGUAAAAGAACUUAGUUAUAAAAUAAAAAAUUUUAAAUUUAGUUUGGUUCAGAUGAUUAUAGUUUUCUAACUUACAAACAGUGAAUCAAAUUGAAAUCAAUUUAUUUGAAUAAAUUAAAAUUAAAUUGAAAUAAUGAAUUUUAAUUUUUUUUAUAUUUUUCAUGACCUUUAUAAUAUUUUGUAAUAUUUUUUUUUGAAUUUCAUGACUUUUAGCGGCGUUUGUGGGAAAAGCACCGCUAAAGGUCAUGAUCUUUAGCGGCGUUUGUGGAAAAAGCGCCGCUAAAGGUCAUGAUCUUUAGCGGCGUUUGUGGGAAAAGUGCCGCUAAUGGUCAUGAUCUUUAGCGGCGUUUUUUCAAAUAAAUGCCGCAAACUUUAAUGGCGCCGUCUAUAGAGGCGUUUUUUGCGGCGGCGCCGUUAAUAGUUUUAGUGGCGCUUAGAAGCGCCGCUAAAGACCUUAAAAAACGUCGCUAAAAAUCAAUUUUGCUGCAGUGUAUAUUGUGUACAUUUACAUGUCUGAAUUGAAUAUAGUAUAAGUAAAUUGUGAAUUUGUUAUGAAUAUCAAAAUGAUUAUAUAUCCGACAUGUUUGAGAAAUGUUAAGUCCCGUCUGAACAAAUGAAAAUCGAUGGUUGCAAGUUUCUCGAUUGGUUGUGAUGUAGCAUAUGUUGCAGAAACACCAUAGCUUGAAAGACCAUCUCGUUAUAAGCCCUCUUGAGCUUCCCGUUAUAUGGUUCUUGCGAACUUCACGUUAUGGUUCUUCGGAGUGUCUCGAUAGGUUGUGAUCCUACAUGUGUUGUAGAAACACCUUAGCUUUUAUGAGCUUCUUGAUAUGGGCUUUUCGUGAGCUUCUUGUUAAAUUAGCUCUUUAUGAGCUUCCCGAUAGUGCUCGCUUGAACUUCCCAGUAUAUGGUUAUCUGGAGCUUUCCGAUAGGCUCUUCGUGAGCUUCCCGAUUAAAAGUUCUUUGUGAACUUCCUAAGUAUGGUUCUUAUGAGCUUCCUGUUAUAGCCUGGAUAAGCUUCCCGUUACAUGGCUCACAUGAGUUUCUUGUUAUACGGCUCGAGAGAGUGCUUCCUGUUUAGGUGUUCUCAUGAACACUUCUUAAUGUCAAUUGACGGAUUAUAGAUUCGUACACUUCAUGUGUACUAUCGGAUAUCCAUCGAUAUUUCAUAAGGUUCAACGGUCAAAAUUUCGAUAGAAGUUGAGAUAAUGUCUGAAAUAAAUAAUAAUAUUAACUGCUUGAAAUUACAUAGAAUUGUUUACAUGAUGAGCUCAUCUUUGUUAUUUGAAAAUACUUGGAAAUCAUGACUAACUUGCUUGAUGAGUAUAUGUGUUUAAGCAAAUGGCCAAUUUGCUUUGGAUACAUGUUGUUUGUAUGUUUACUUUAAAUGAACCUGAGUGGUAAGUUAAAUUCCCGUUAUGCGAACUUACUAAGCAUUAAAUGCUUACUUGGUUUUCUUUUCUCUGUUUUAUAGUGCUCGGAAGCUCAUAAAGGUUGGAAAUUGGUCGGAGCAUCAUCACACUAUCCUUCAGAUUGUUUUGGUAUAAAUAACAAACUUUUUUUUGAUAUAAUGGCAUGUAUAGACUAAGUUGGCUAUGUAAAUGGUUGUUUGUAUCUAGCUAUUGGAAUGGCUAGUGAUGACAUAUUUGAUGUAUAUGUAAGAGGAUAUAUCAUGUUUAAUAUAUGCAUAUUUAGUAAGGUUGAAUUGAAUUCUGAUAAAUUUACAUGAUUACACAAUUAGGUAAGUUGGAAUACAUGAACAUAUGUGAUGAAAUGUCAUACAUAAUACUUGUAUUUGACUUGAUUUAAAUGUAUUGAAUUGGUUGGUGAAUAUACUUAAAUAUUGUUGUAGGUGGAAAGCAAAAUGGGUGAGAAAUAUGGCCUAUUUUCGUCCACACGGGCAAAGACAUGGGCAUGUGUCUCAGCCGUGUGCGACACGGCCUUGCACACGGGCAUGUGGUUGGGCGUGUGACACAUGUCAGAGAGUUACACGGGUAUGAACACGUGUUAGGAUAUGGCCGUGUGCCUUACAUCGAAUGCCCACACGGCUUGGAACAUAGGCAUGUCACUCACACGGCCUACCUACACAGGCGUGGGUCCCCUACAUUUAAGAAAAAUUUUGAAAAUUUUAGUUAAAUUUUCUGAGUUCUCGAUUUAGUCUCGACUUGUUUCUAAUACAUAUAUUGGGCCUCGAGGGUCCAUUUAAGGGAAAAUAUGAUUGAAUAUGUUUGGUUUCGAUUAUGAAUAGUAAAUGAAAUGAUUUAACCGUAAUUAUUCUAUAAACUACGGUAAUGCUUUGUAACUUUGUUUCGGUGUCAGAUAUGGGUUAAAUGUGUUACAUAACAGUUCAAAAUAAAAUAUUAUAUUCAUUGAAUAAUUAAAUAAAUAAAAUAAUGAGCCUAAAAUAAUUUUAUAAUUAAAAACGAGCCGAGACUCUAGAUGCCAUGUUCGUGUCCUAACCUGGUGAGUUAUCUGUAAGUAUGAAAAUUUAAGGGGGAGUGAGCUAUAACACUCAGUGGGAGUUCCAUCACAAGAAAAUCAGUGCAAAUUAAUAAACUAAGCAUACAUAAUAACAAUUUUUAGUACGAUAAUAAUCAUAUGAUAUAACGAUAUUUUUGGCAGUUCAACAACCAUACUUAUAUGUGUCGAUGCAAUGCUAUACAAGUUAAGUUUAUCAGUAAAGAUAGGUCCUACCCCACCGCUACACUCCACAGUAAGAGUUUCCCAGAAAUCUUAUAUCUCGGACACUCUAAUUUGUGGAUGAACCACAAGUGUUCCAGGUUAAUAUGCUACCAAUAGUUGUGAAUACACAAUGGGUUUGCAGAUAGAAGUUGCUAGUAAAAGAUGUGGAUAAACCACUAGUAUUUGCAGGUUAAUACGCUGCCAAUGGUUGUGAAUACACGGGUUUGCAGAUAAAAACUACCACUAAUUUGUGGAUAAACCACCAGUGUUUUGUAGUUAAAAUUGCCAGUAUUUCCUCUUUAAAAAGAAUCCUACCCUAUGCAAUAUAGUAUGACAUGUAAGUAUCAAUACAGUACAGAAACAAUAGACAUGUUUGUCCUGGAUUUGGUAUGUCAAUAUAGUAAGCAUGCUAUUCACGCAAUUAGUAAUUUUGCGAUACUAGUAAAAAUAACAAUUAAUCAGUAAUUUAGUCAUAGAAGACAUGUAUUCAUCACAUAUCAUGCACAUAUAGUAAUAAUCUAAUAAAUCAAACAAUUUAUUCCACGUUAUUCAUAAUAUCAGAGACUUAAUUAAAAGAAAUAAAGCACUAAAAACAAUUCAAUGAUCAUGCAUGGAUUAAAUUGAACAAUUUACAAAAAUUUUGGGAAAAAUUGUAAAAUGGGGGCACAUGGCCGUGUGGAGGGGUUACACGGUGGUAUGGUUAGGCCGUGUAAUAGAUUGUGGCUGUGUGGAAUUUACAAAAUCAAGGUACAGGGGAGACACAAUUAUGUGGCAGGCCGUGUGAGAAUUGAAUAUCCUAAGGUUUCAGGGGGACAUGGUCGUGUGAGGGGUCGUAUGGUCCACAUGUGUAUCCCACAUGCCCGUGUGGUUGGCCAUAUGACCUUAUUUCGAGGUAUGAUUUAUCCCAAUUCGCUUGUAAAAUAACACACAUUCCACCGGGAUCUCGAAUGACAUCCCUCACAAUCAAAUUUGGUCUGAUGCACCUGUAACGGGUCCUUCAAACAACAUUUAUACACGGGUUAAUGUUUAUUUUCAAAAUCUAUCAAGAUUACCAGGAAUUUCAGCAAGAUUCGUAGAAUAUUCAUCAAUUAAAAUGAAAGAUUAGCAUCAGAUGCAAAAACUACGAGAAUUUGGGAUUAGUUAUCAGAAUUUAAUUGAACUUGCCAACAAUUCUUAGCAAGGAUUAAGAACAUUCCUAAUGGCGACUAUAAAACCGAUUAAAAAAUGUCUUAAAUCGAGAAUAGAUUUUGAUCCGGGAAGAAAUAAUAAAUUCAGCAAUGGAGAGAAAAUAUCUUGCAAAGAAGAAGCUAAGAAAGAAAAGAGAGAAGAAGUAGGGAAAAAGAAAUAAAAAUUUUCUGUUUGGUUUGGAAAAGGAAACAAGUGUUCAAAUGCAAUUAGGAAAAUGAUUAAAUAUUUAGGGGUUUCAAACUUUUAGGGGGUUGGAUAGCAAUUUAUCCCUGCUUCCGAAAAUAAAAGGAUAAUGAAGGAGAGUGAUUAGGCUUGAUCUUGAGCAUGCAAGGGAAAAGUGUAAAGACUUAAUCAUUGACUUGUUGCCCAUAAUUUGUUAAGUUUUUACUCUAAAUUAUAUAUGUUUUAAUGUGGUUUUCAUCCUAAGUUGCUAAAAAUAAAAGGAAAAAAAAUGAGAGAAGAGUGAAUAGAACCUAAGACCUUUAAAAAGUACACUAAUUACUUAACCAUGAAGCCUAGGUUAAUUUUUGAUUAAUUAUUUCAAUUAAUCUUCUAUAUUUCAAGGCGUGACAGUUAUAACUAAGAAUUAUAAUUAAUUUAUAAAUAUUUUUAAAUAUCAAUUUAAUAAUAUGUUAGAAAAAAAUAUUCUUAUCAGUUCAAAAUUUUUUCAACUCAUAUAUAUAUUAUAGAUGAUUAGAUAUCAAAUUUAAUUAUAAAAACUUAAAAAGUCCAACCCGCUGGCAUACAUGUAAAUUACCAUCAACCUAACGCUUCGUUUGUUUGCCAGUAAAAUAUUUUCCGGAAAAUGAUUUCUGGAAAAUGAUUUACUUUUCUGGAAAUGAUUUAAUUUUCUGGAAAUGAUUUACUUUUCUGGUGUUUGAAUGAAUCUGUGUAAAAUAUUUUCUAUUGUUUGGUAGAUUUCCUAAAAAUAUUUUCCGGAAAAGCUAUUUUUAUAUAUAUUAAUAAAUUUAUAUUUUAAAUUAUUUUUACAUAUAUUGCAAUGAUCAAAUUAAAUAUAUAAUAAUACUCAAUUAUUGCAUUGUUCAUUCUUCAUUCGGAUUUAUUGCAUUGUUGCUCUAGAUUUAGAUAGAGCUUCAUACUUCAUCCGGAUAAAUUGCUCAAAAACUCCAACAAAUGUAACUUUAUAAAGAGGAACAAAAAAUCAGAAAGAAAACCAUUUGUUUGACUAUAUAGAGCUAAUAAUUUAUGCAUGAACUCGAAUGUUGGAUCACAUAAACAACAUUUUGCAAGAGAACAGAAAAGAUACAUGACAAAUGCACUUAAAUGGGGGCAUGCAUACCCAUGUUACGCCAGUGCAUGAAAACUUACCUAAACAAUACCUAGAACAUCAAUAAGCCUGCACCUUGCAGAGGAAACAACAAAGCAAAGAAAGAUUAUAGCACUAUAAUGGAAUUUUCUCCACCAAUGAAGAUGGCUAUUUCAAGCAAACAAAUGGCUCUGAGUUUUAAUUGAUUUGUGCAUUCAUGAAGCUAAAAAGAAGAGCACAUAUGAAUUUCUUGAUGGACAUUUUAUAACUUUCAAUAAUUAGGUGAUCAAAAAGAUAAUUUACUAAUAAUUGAGUGAUAUUUUUUAACUUUGCAUAGUUAAGUUACCAAAAGGGAAAAAACCAUAGUUAAGUGGCCUCUACUAUAAUUUACCCAAAGAUAUAUAAAUACACUUGCAACAAUAUUUCUUAUUUCAAUUUUUGAAAAAUUUAAACUUUUAAUUAAAUUAAUAUUCGAUUAAAGUAACAUUUUUAACUUAAAAAUGUUCUAAUUUUUACCAGCAAUCUUGGCUGUUCUUUCCUAAAAGAAAAAAAAAAGAACAGAAACCUAAGCAAAAAAAUAAGUUACACGUAGUGUUGUUGUAAGUCAAAUUUUACAGGCUAUUCUCUGCCAUUUAUCAUCCACCCCCCAUUAUAAGUAUACAAGCUGUGUACAUUAAUGCAUAGAAGUUAAAACCUCCAAAACAUUAAGUUAUUGUCUCUGCCACAUUAUUACAAGUAUUUGCAUGUCUAGAGCAUAAACUACGGCUGAAAGCUAAUGGUUCUUAGAGCUGUAAGACUGAUUUAAUGAUGAAUAUACACUUCACUGACAAUGGGUUGAGCAUAAAUUCAAUCGCAGAUAAAUUUUAGCUACUUCUUUCAGUAAUCGACUCCUCUCUAGUUUCACUUUAACAUCCAUUUAGAUCCUGCCAUUUGAGGUGAAAAAGCUGGUGGUGUGCCCAGCAAUGUCGAACUUCCCGGGCAUUCACCGUUUAGGUAUCCUUGUCACAUAGGCCAAAGCUCUAAUGCCAUAAAAAAGCCCCAUCAAAACCUCAUACCCAGUUGUGUGAAGUGCCUCAGGCUGGUGCCAGAACAAGAUGAGCUUGUGAAGAAUGGGUGCUAUUCCUGACAUGCCCAUGCCAAAGAAGAGGGAUGCACGAAUGCUGCGAAACUCUGGAUUCUAAAACCCUGGCAAUAAGGAAACUAAGAUCGUUGCGACUCCCAAGAUGGUUAUGAAUCCCAAAUAGAGGUUGCAAAAGAAUGGAUCACACAUGAAGGAGUAAUACACUGGAGGAUAGAAGGAAGUAGAAAUGAGAGCCGCGAUCCCAGCAUAGUCUAGCCUGAGCAUGAUAUAUAAUAGGCGCUCAGAGUGGCAAGAGAGAAGGUGGCAUGUGAUGCUAGCCAGCAAGCAGAACAUUGCACCACCCAAGAAGGCAAAGAAAGGCCACCGUGUUAUCGGCCUCACCAUCAGGGGUGCUAUUAUGUUUGCCAAAUCCUCCUUCACGCUUUGUUGCAAUUAGAAAGAAUAAAAUGUAUUAGCUGCAUGAAACUCCCACAUGCAUAGUGUAACCAUUGGUAUUAAAAGAACAGAUAUCACUACGUCAUAGAAAACCACCGUAAUAAGACAAAGAAACAAAAUACAAAGAAGAAAUCAAAGAAUUAGAAAAAAAAAUCUGUUGUGCGGAAGCGUGUAAAAGAGUAAAAUUAUUGUACUAAAAAAUCACACUAAGUUCAAUUCCCAGGAAAGAGAGGUGGAUCACAAGGAUCGCUUAAGUACCAGGUCUUUCCUAGCCAGAAUAUCCCUCAAUCGUAAUUUAAUAGCAUAAUAAAUCACUACAAUCACACACACAAUUCAUGUAGAAUAAUACAAUAAAGAAUACAAGAAUUUAACGAGGUUCAGCAAAUUUUGCCUACAUCCUCGGGCACUACCAAAUAUAUUUCACUCCAAAAUACAAGUGAGAAUUUACAAAGAGAGAGAGAGAAAACAAUGCCUUAAGUAGAGAAUGGCAAGUUUGAGAUGCAGAAUGAGAGAUGGUUAUGCCUAUUUAUAGUUGAGGUUCAGGGAUCAACUUGCAAAGUCACUUUACAAUUAGGGACCAUAUAUUGCAAAUAUCUCAGAUUUUAUUAUGCCAAUAUCUCGAUACCCAUAUAUUUGACUUUCCAAUAUUUGAUACCCAUAUCUUUGACUUUCCAAUAUUUGAUACCCAUAUCUUUGACUUUCCAUUAUUUGAUACCCAUAUAUUUGAUUUUCCAUAAAUAUGGAUAAUUCCCAAUAAUCUCCACCUUGAAGAUUUGAUUCGAGUAAUCUUAUCAUCACACAAUUCUCUCUGCCUUUGUCAACAACACUUGAUAGUGCCUUCUUCAACUGUUAAACAUGCAGAAUAUUGAUCAAGUUCAAACAAUGUUCGAACUUGAUUGUUGUUACCACCUUGGUCAUCAUAUCUGCGGGAUUAUCUGCAGUCUUAAUCUUCUGAAGGUGAAUUUUCCCCUCAUCAAUAAUUUUCCGCACAAAGUGGAAACGUACAUCGAUAUGCUUUGUACGUGCAUGAUAGACUUGAUUCUUUGCUAAAUGAAUAGCACUUUGACUAUCACAAUACACAUUAAUAUGCUCCUGGACCAAUCCCAAGGUUUUAACCAUACCUUGUAACCAAAUAGCUUCCUUUACAGCCUCUGUUACAGCCAUGUAUUCAGCUUCUGUGGUUGACAACGCAACUGUAGACUGCAGUGUAGACUUCCAACUUAUUGGUCCUCCAGCAAGAGUAAACACAUAACCAGUGGUUGAUAUUCGUUUGUCCAAAUCACCGGCAUAAUCAGAAUCAACGUACCCAACAAGACCUUUACCAAGUGUAGUAUCCUGCUUGAACAGUAAUCCAAUAUCCAUGGUCUUAUGAAUAUACCGUAGAAUCCAUUUCACAGCUUGCCAAUGUCCUUUUCUAGGAUUAUGCAUAUACCUGCUCACUAUACUAACUGCCUGUGAAAUGUCGGGUCUUGUACACACCAUUGCAUAUAUCAAGCUACCCACUGCAUUAGAAUACGGAACUUGCAACAUGUAUUCUCGUUCCGUAUUCGUCGAAGGAGAUAGUUGUGCAGAAAGCUUGAAAUGAGAAGCCAACGGGGUACUUACAGGUUUUGUCUGCUCGUUCAUGCCAAACUGCUGUAGUACCUUUUUCAAAUACUGCUUCUGAGACAAGCUAACUCUAUCAUGAGCUCUAUCUCUCCAUAUUUCCAUGCCGAGAAUCUUUUUAGCUUCUCCUAGAUCUUUCAUCUCAAACUCGAGAUUGAGUUGAGUGUUCAAUCUUUCAAUCUCAACUUUGCUCUUAGAUGCUAUUAGCAUAUCAUCAACAUAUAAGAGCAAGUAUAUGAAAGUUCCUUCUUGUAGCUUCUGAAAAUACACGCAAUGAUCAAAUUUACUUCUUGUGUACCUUUGCCCUUUCAUGAACUGAUCAAAUCGCUUGUACCACUGCCUCGGAGAUUGCUUCAAUCCAUAAAGUGACUUUGUCAGUUUGCAAACCCAAUUUUCUUUUCCAGCAACCUUGAAUCCAUCUGGCUGAGUCAUAUAGAUUUCUUCUUCCAAAUCACCGUGUAAAAACGCGGUCUUCACAUCAAGCUAAACUAGUUCAAGAUCAUAUUGCGCAACCAAGGCUAGCAAAAUCCGAAUAGACGAAUGCUUCACAACUGGAGAAAACACUUCAUUGUAGUCUAUUCCUUCUUUCUGAGCGUAACCCUUUGCUACUAAUCUAGCCUUGUAUCGAAUUUCAUUUUUAUCAGGAAAUCUUUCCUUCCCUGGGGUAGUGUCACCAACUCCCAAGUCCUAUUUUUAUGAAGAGACUGCAUUUCUUCAUUCAUAGCUUGCUUCCACUUUACACUAUCAGAGUUACUUCUUGCUUCUGUGUAAGUAGAAGGAACAUCAUCAUCUGCAAUUGGAAGUGCAUAGGCCACCAUAUCAUCAAAGCGAGCAGGCAUACGAAUCUCUCUUCUUGGCCUUCUAUAUGCAAUUGAAUCAUGUUGUUGUAGAAGUUCUUGGGUCGAAACUUCUUCAUCAUUUGUUCCUUCAAUAUUAGCUGGAUCAUCAUUAACCUUUUCAAGCUCCACCUGCUGCAAAGUGCCACUGGUUGUGUUAUCCUUUUGUGAAUCAUUGUUCUUCAUCAUGGUUGAUUCAUCAAAAGUCACAUCUCUACUGAAAAUUAUUUUUCUUGUAUCAGGACACCAGAGACGGUAUCCUUUUACCCCAUCAGUUAUACCCAAGAAUAAUACUUUCUUUGCUCUUGGGUCUAACUUAGAUUCUUUUACAUGAUAAUAUGCAGUGGAACCAAAUACAUGCAAAGAAUCAUAAUCAGUAGCAGAUUUACCAGUCCACAUCUCCAUAGGAGUUUUUCCAUUUAUUGCAGCUGAUGGCAAACGGUUAAUUAGAUGGCACGCAUAUGUAACUGCCUCAGCCCAAAAUUCUUUGCCAAUCCAGCAUUGGACAACAUACAUCAAACUUUCUCCAGUAUAGUUCGAUUCAUUCGUUCUGCCACCCCAUUUUGCUGUGGUGUAUCCCGAACAGUGAAGUGUCGCACAAUGCCCUCAUCUUGGCAUACUUGUAGAAAUGGAUCGUUUUUAUACUCAGUACCAUUAUCUGAUCGAAGUCGUUUGACCUUUCGACCAGUCUGAGUCUCCACCAUCUUCUUCCAUUUCAGAAAUGCAUCCAAAACUUCACUUUUUCUUUUCAUUAGAUACACCCAUACUUUUCUUGAAUAAUCAUCAACAAAAGUAACAAAAUAGUGCAUACCUCCCAAAGAAGCUACUUUGGUAGGUCCCCACACAUCACUGUGAACGUAGUCCAGAAUUCCUUUCGUAUUGUGAAUUGCUGGACCAAAUUUUACCCUCUUCUACUUGCCCAGAACACAAUGUUCACAGAAUUCCAUUUUGCAAGAAUUUGCACCUUUCAAUAAGCCUUGCUUCACCAAUGUCUGCAAAGCUUUUUCACCAGCAUGUCCCAAUCGCAUAUGCCAUAAUCUGGUAGCCUCUGAAUCUACAUCUUUUGUAGAAACUGUUGAUGUUGAUCCAAUAACUGUACUUCCAUUUAAAAAAUACAAGUUAUUUCUUCUUGUGCCUUUCAUCACCGUCAGUUGCCCAGCUACUACUUUUAGUAAUCCAUCUCUCAAAGUGAUUGUGAGCCCUUUAGAUUCUAGGGCACCUAAUGAGAUGAGAUUUUUCUUCAGGCUAGGUACGUAGCGAACAUCUGUCAAGACUUGGAUUGAGCUGUCGUGAUUCUUCAAUUGGACUGUACCCACUCCCAUUGUCUUACAAGCACUAUCAUUUCCCAUAAGAACAAUUCCACCUUCUAGCUCUUUAAGACUAGAAAACCAGUCCUUAUUAGGACACAUAUGGUAAGUACAUCCUGAAUCCAAAAUCCACUCAUCCGUUUGACAUGCCAUUGCCAUGCCAACCAAGCUAAAGUCUGACUCCUCAUCAUGCUCCGCUACACAUGCAUUAGAAAUAGCCUUGCCCUUUUGUAGCUUAGGACAAUUCUUUUUCCAAUGCCCUUUUUCACGGCAAAAGGCACAUUCAUCUUUGGCGGGUCUCCCUUUGGACUUUCCCCUUCUACCAGAUUUGCUGCUGUGUGAACGACCUCUUACUGUUAAGACUUCUGCGGUUGUAUCUCUGUGAUCUCUUUUAUCUUUCUUUCGAGUCUCAGAUCUAUACAACGUACUACAGACUGCAUCAAAUGUGAUCGUGUCCUUCCCAUGAAGCAAUGUGGUGGUAAGAUGAUCAUAUUCAUCAGGAAGGGAAUUCAACAACAAUAAUGCCUUGUCUUCAUCUUCAAAUUUCUCAUCCAAAUUUAGCAAGUCUGCUAAAAUUUUAUUGAAUGAGUUCACAUGGCCAUUCAUCGACAUACCGAGUGCAUACGUGAAUCGAUAAAGUUUCUUUUUCAUAUAAAGCCUAUUUUCAAGACUUUUUGUUAGAAACUUUUCUUCCAGUGUAUCCCACAACUUCUUCGCUGAUGUCUCCCUCAUGACAGAGUACUUCUGCUCUUUGGCCAAACAUAGGCGAAUUGUUCCACAUGCCUGUCUAUUGAUCUUGGCCCACUCCUUGUCAUCUAUCUUGUCAGGUUUUUCUUCAAGGGCUAUAUCCAACUCUUGCUGACAUAAGACAUUCAGGAUCUCACAUUGCCACAUACCAAAAUUAUUGGUACCAUCAAAUUUCUCUACUUCAAAUUUCGCAUUGGUCACAGUAGUCUUUGACGAUGACUUUUCCAUUUUUUCUCCUCAAUCCCAACUACAGUACGUGAACAAUGCCGUGAACGAUUGUAUUCCCCAAGUACGAAUCUAGCUUUGAUACCAAUUAUUGUGCAGAAGUGUGUAAAAGAGUAAAAUUAUUGUACUAAAAAAUCACACUAAGUUCAAUUCCCAGGAAAGAGAGGUGGAUCACAAGGAUCGCUUAAGUACCAGGUCUUUCCUAGCCAGAAUAUCCCUCAAUCGUAAUUUAAUAGCACAAUAAAUCACUACAAUCACACACACAAUUCAUGCAGAAUAAUACAAUAAAGAACACAAGAAUUUAACGAGGUUCAGCAAAUUUUGCCUACGUCCUCGGGCACUACCAAAUAUAUUUCACUCCAAAAUACAAGUGAGAAUUUACAAAGAGAGAGAGAGAAAACAAUGCCUUAAGUAGAGAAUGGCAAGUUUGAGAUGCAGAAUGAGAGAUGGUUAUGCCUAUUUAUAGUUGAGGUUCAGGGAUCAACUUGCAAAGUCACUUUACAAUUAGGGACCAUAUAUUGCAAAUAUCUCAGAUUUUAUUAUGCCAAUAUCUCGAUACCCAUAUCUUUGACUUUCCAAUAUUUGAGACCCAUAUCUUUGACUUUCCAAUAUUUGAUACCCAUAUCUUUGACUUUCCAUUAUUUGAUACCCAUAUCUUUGAUUUUCCAUAAAUAUGGAUAAUUCCCAAUAAAAUCUGAUUGAUUCUUUUCAUUCACAAAAAACUACUUUUCUGAUAGAGCCUUCUUAACUGCUCAUACCAGUUUUACAACCUCUUUAACCCUGCAACUAACAGUAACUAACAACAUUACUGCUAUCACCACUUAACUUUCCAAAAUUAUUAAGGAUAACAAUUUCCAGGGAGACAAGAUAAGACAUGAAAUGUUCAUGCAUACACAUUUAUCUUAAAAUUGUAUCCACUAUGGAUCCAUAAGGUUAAAACUGGCAGCUGCAAAAAAUGUUACAGGAUUCAAGCAUCGCUACCCUCUCAUUUUUCAGACUCUGAAGUGCACUUCCAGUAAGAUCCUAUUAACAUGAAUAUACUAAAAUAAACUUUUGAACUAUCACAAUCGUGGCAGUUGAUUUCCCAUUGCAAGGACGCUAGCAAAAUAAACUACAUACUUCGUAUUUAGACCUGCUCAUGGGUCGGGUUACUCGGCCCGGCCCGAAGGCCCUCCCGAAAUGUGAGAGGGUUUGGGCAAAAAUAAAGGCCCGAAAAAUGGGCUUGGACAAAAAAAUAAAGCCCAUUUAAAAAACGGGUCAGGCUUCGGGUAAGGUAUUUUUUGCCUGAGCCCGGCCCGGCUUGGCCCGAAUUCACUAAAUGACAAAAAAAAUCUGCUAUUUCUUGUUUUUUAAUGUUAUUUUCUUAUUAAUUUUGUUAUUAUUUUAAAGGCAUUUGUUAAUUUUGUUAUUAUUUUAGAUGUAUUUGCUUGUUAAGUUGCAUCUAUCUUAGUGCUAUUUAAGUCUACAUAUUUUUUAAAAUUUAUUUUCAAUUUGUUGGAAAAUAUUUAUUUUGAUUUUUUAGUAUUUUUGAUGUAUUAUAUAUAUUUAAAAAUUAUAUAAAAUAAUAUAAAAAAUAAUAUGGGCGGGUCGGGUCGGGCUCGGGUUUUAGCAUUUUUAUUUGGGCGGGGUUGGGAAAAAAUUGUAGGCCUAUUUUUUAGGCCCGGCUCGGCCCGAGCCUAAUGAAUGGGCCUAAAUUUUUAGUUGAGCCCAACCUAAACCCGGCCCGACCCGACCCAUGAGCACCUCUAUUCGUAUUUAAAGUUCCACAUAUUGUGUUCAAAACAUUGUAAGUUAAGGGGAAAAAAAUCUACAAGACAGACAUAUACCAUAUAGGAUGUUAUAUGCUUAAAAAAGAUUUCCCUGGAUAACAAUACUAAGCUUUCCAUGGUUUUUGCUUAUAAGAGAAGCAUUUAUUGAACCAUGUCAACACGGUAGAUAUCAACUUUAUAACUUAGCACCUAUGGCUAUAAUCAUAUGCCUUUAAUUGUUUAUAAAGAUUCUUGAGUAAAAAUUUUUAGCAGGAAGUAUACUAACAGAAAGGCCUAUUUGAUGCCCACAGGUCUUUCAGUUCUUCACAUUUAUUGACCCAUAAUACUAAAACUUUAUGGAUAGGUCUUAGGAUUAUAAUUCCUUUCACUGACAACAAUAGGACAGAGGAAAAGAAGUCUUUAUGGAUUCUCUGCCUCAGAAACAAGAUUCAGUGUUGUCAGGGCAUGCGCCUAGGCACACCUGAGCUGUGCGCCUUAACACUAGACAACAGAAGUGCCUCAAACCCUUUCAGGUAAUACCCAUUUAACCAGGCACACACCUUUUUUGCAAGGCAAUAGGAAUAAAAAGCAUCCGCCUCAUAUAAGUUCUCUUUAAUUUAAUUUAAUUUUCACUUUUUUCAUUAGAUAUACCUUUACCAAUAAGAAAGGGUUAGUAUUAAACUCUAUCCUUAUCAAAAUUCGUGUAUUAAACAAUAGACAUGAACCAUAAGUAAAUCAUGUAUAUUGACCAAUAAUAGAAUUGCAUGUUUUGUAGAUAUAGAUCACACUUUAGAGUUUAUUAUAUAUCUUAUGCUAUAUAUAUAGACAUAGAAAAAUGCACAGAUAUACAUAUUGCACUUCAUUUCACUCAAGCUACUACUUUUUUUUUUACACCUUGCACCUGAGGCUACAAGAGUAGCCCCUUCCCCGGUAAGGCAGCAACCCAACUAUUUCUUUCUUGCCUGGAGGCUUUUCUUAUUCUAAAAUUUAUGAUAUUCACUAACCUAUAAAAUCCAGAGUCCUUUAUUACAGAAUAAUUUAAGGCUUUCUUAAUUUCUAUAAUUCACCACCAGAAAUCUAAUUAAUGGGAUAUCAGAAACCCAAAACCUUUCUCUAUUGCUCACAGAGACUUAAACAUGUAUUUCACUAAAUUUGGCUCAAACAUAAACCCAACAUAAAAAUCUAAAAUUAUAUUGCAGCGAAAGAAGCUAUAAUUGACAUACUUGCAUAUUAUCUUUAUAGUGUUCAAGUAUCAAAAUUGAUAUGAAGUACAGGAAACUUCAAAGAAGAUAGAGGCAACCAUUUCCUAACAUUGAUGAAAAAACCACACCAAAACCUUGAAUCGACAGAAUUUACCCAAACCCAGAAAAAGAGCUUUAAAAAGAACAAGAAGAAAAUGUGGACAAGUAAAGAACAAGAAAAAAAAAGCUUUAAAAAACGAUGCCAUUCCUUAAGUCAAGACCUUGCGAAGAGGAAUGAGAUUUGCCUCAGAAAGAGAGAAAGAGAGGAAUGAAAUUUGCAGAAAGAGAGAAAGAGAGAAAGAAGAUGAAGAACGGAAAGAAGGGAGAAGGACUUUUACCAGGAUGAAGAAGAAGAUGGAAAAUGUCUUACAGAAAAAAAAUCCUUAAGGCAUUUUCCCUAAAAUGAAUGAGAUUUUACCCGUGUCUUGGAAAAUAAUUUCCAAAACAGAGCCUAAAUGAAACUUUAGUUACCAAAUCAUACCAGUUAAAAAAUUAGAGUAAAUUAUAUUAUUAAUUACUUAAUUAUAGUACAAUUAUUUUCUAGUUACUCAAUUAUGAAAAGUUACAAAAUAAUCAUCUAAUUAUUCAUUUUUUUAUUUUUUGUCACCGGCUGGCUAACGUGUAAAAAGAAAAACCCAAAAAUCAAAUAUAGUUGAGUAGCCAAAGAAAAAAAUUACUAAUAAUUAGGUGACUAGUACUAUAGUUUACCCUAAAAUUUAAAGGUAAAACUUUUCAAAUGAAUGCAUUUUAUAAUAAUUAAUAAAAUAAGAGUUAUAUUAAGUACUGAAAAGUUACUCAACUAUCUUAGAUUUUUGUUAUUUUUAUUUUAUUUUUUACUCUAGUUAUUAAAAAAGAUAAAAUUAAAUAAUUGGAUAACCAUAUUGUAACCUUUCAUACUUGGAUGACCAAAAAAGAAACCUAACAAUAAUUGAGUGAUUGAAUUUUUUUUUACUAAUAAUUAUGUGACUAAUAAUAUAAUUUACCUAUAAAUUUAAAGGUAAAACUUUCCUUAUGAAUGCAUUUUAUAAUAAUAAAUAAAAGAAGAGUUAUAUAUAAAAUUGAAAAGUUGUAACAAAUUGGGGUGAUAAUAUAUCCGUGAAGCACUCCCCACCAUGCUAAUACCACCAAGCUAAUAAUAAACUAAAAAUAACCAUUAAUUUGCUAAGAAAAUGGUUACUUUGGUAGUAUAAAUAGGGCAUUUCAAUGAUGUAUUAUUCAAGCCAAGGGGCAAUAAGUAAUAAGCAAUAAGCAGCCCCACAACUUCAAAAGGUUUUUUUUUUUCUUUUCCUAUCUCUGUUUAAAAUCUAUUUCAAGGGAAAGGAGGAGGAAAAUUUUAUAAUUUUUUGAGGGUUUUUUAAGAAUAAAUAGAAAACUAUGGCGAACAAUGCUGCUGUUAUUGGUAUCUGUUCAGUGUUCUUGGUGGCAGCAGUGGUGGCAACAGUGGUGGGUGUCACGCAUUUAAAAAACAACGGUGAUUCGAAAAGCGGUGAAAUAUCGAGUUCGACAAAAGCAGUGCAGACGGUUUGUCAACCCACACAGUUCAAAGAGGUAUGCGAGAAGAGCCUGGAGUCAUCUAAUUCCACCGACCCUAAAGAGCUGAUAAGGACGAGUUUCCAAGCAGCGAUAGAGGAAAUAAGGAAAGUGUUGGCGAAUUCAGCGACGAUACAAGACUUGAAUAAAGAUGACAACAACAAAGCAGCCCUUAAGGUUUGUAAAGAAGUGUUGGAUUUAUCAAUAGCUGACCUGCAACUUUCAUUUGAUAAGCUGGGGGGAUACGAGAUGAGUAAGAUCGGUGACUACAUACUGAACCUGAGGGUGUGGUUAAGCGGUGCCUUAACUACCUUACAAACAUGUGUAGACUCAUAUGCGGAAGUAAAUAAUGAACAAGCGGAGAAGAUGAAUUCAAUUUUGAAGACUUCAAUGGAGCUUACCCAAAAUUCUUUAACCAUGGUGACUAAGUUAUCCACCAUCUUGAAUGGCCUUAAAAUUCCAGGCCUCAAUAUCGACACGACUGGGUUCGAACGUAAGCUCCUGUCUAACGAUGGACCUGAGUGGAUAGGCCACGCUGAAAGGAGACUACUUCAAGCAAAACCAACAGAUUUGAAGCCUAACGUUGUGGUUGCUAAGGAUGGUAGUGGAAAAUAUGAUACCAUCACCAAGGCCUUGGCUGAAGUCCCUCUGAAAAGCCCGAAUCGAUUUAUUAUUCACAUUAAGGCUGGUACUUACAAGGAACAAGUCCUUUUACCCAAGGAGAUGACUAAUGUUAUGUUCAUCGGUGAUGGCCCAACUAAGACCAUCAUCACCAAUGACCUUAACUGCAUUAGGGAUCAUCCGCUUAAAACAUUCGGCACUGCAACAGUUGGUAAGUAGCAGUAUCUACAUAUAAGUUUUGGUGGUGAGGUGAGGUGACUAACUAGUAUGUAUGUUUGUGAAAUAUUGUAGGUGUGGAUGGGGCUGGUUUCAUGGCCAGGGACAUUGGAUUCGAGAACACAGCAGGACCCCCUGGUCAUCAAGCAGUAGCUUUUAGGGCAACAUGUGAUAUGGUUAUCAUGUUCAAUUGUCAUUUCAAUGGGUACCAAGACACCCUUUAUGCUCACAAAGAGAAACAAUUUUAUAGGGAUUGUCUCAUCAGCGGGACAGUAGAUUUCAUCUUUGGGGAUGCGGCAAGCGUGUUCCAAAAUUGUCAGAUCAUCGCAAGGAAGCCAGGUGAAAACCAGAACAACAUGAUUACAGCCCACGGAAGGAAAUUCCCAUACACUCACUCAGCCAUUGUGCUUCAAAAUUGUACCAUCUCGGGUGCCCCUGACUACCUCCCGGUGAAGGACAAGAGUAAGACGUACCUAGGUCGUCCUUGGAAAGCUUUGGCCAGGACCAUCAUAAUGCAAAGCAAUAUUGAUGACAUCAUUACACCAGAGGGUUACUGCCCCAUGCAAGGCACCGUAGGACUAGACACCGGUUACUUUGUAGAGUUCCAAAACAGGGGACCCGGUGCCAAAACCGAAGGCAGGGUCAAAUGGCCAUCUAUCAAGACAAUAGAUAUAAAUGAAGCCAAGAAAUGGACUCCUGGCGUCUUUCUUGAAACUGCAACUGACAAUUGGAUUUCGCAAACCGGCACUCCUUGUUAUCCUGACAUGGUCCCUGGAGUGUAAACUUCCAAAACCAUCGCCAUUAGUAUUCUUUUAAUAUCAUUAUUAGUAAUCAUGCUGUCGAUUAUUGAUUAAGUUAAACAAUUUUUUCCUAUGUUUUAUUUAUAUUAAUAAUAUAUUCAUUAUUAUGGAAGGAGCAAACUAAAAUUAUUUUCUUAUUCCCGAUUAUAAAAAAAAAAAGAAACUACUAGAGAUAGAUAUAAAGUUUAAUAUGCUAUUAAACAAAAAAAAAACAAUAUUAUUAAUUUUGCUAUGUAUUUCAUUAAUUAAAAUAGUACAUCUUAAUAUAUUUUAUUAAUUAAUAUAAUAAUUUUUAAAAAAAAUAUUUUUUUAGUAUAUAUGAUUUUAAUAAUUUGUAAUUAUCAUUUAACAUAAAUGUUAUUUUAAUGUAUAAUAAAAUAUUUAAUAUAGAUAUAAUUUCAAUACUUUUAUUAUUUUAAUUUAUAAAUGUAAUUUAUAAUAUGCUAUUUAAUGUAAUAUUUAAUAUAAAUAUUAUAUUUCAAAAUUAUAUUUGAGCUAACGAGUCUAAAAAACUUCCGCUACUCCUGGUUCGAUUCAUGCCUUUCUAUCGUUGCAUAUACUAACAACGACAACUUGGAGUCCUACAUCUGCUGAUUUUUAACACUUCUAGUGGAAUGCAAUAUAUGACAUCGGUGUCGGCGUACUACAUUCAUCCAAAUUGAAAAACAAAAUCGUAAAUAUCAUUAUAUAUGAAUUUUUUUACGAAUCAUUACGUAAUUAAUAUAGGUUUGAAAGAACAAGUAACAAACAUCGGCUUCUGAGCAUUGAUCUAACAACAACCUAAUAUCUUUUAACUCCUCGGGUAGUUCCAUGUAGCUCAACCCAUGGUUCCACCUGUACAAGCGAAAUGUUAGUCGAAACAUAUAAUAAAAAAAUUCUACAUUGAGUACGUAUUUGUUAAUAAAUGAUAUUUACCUUAUCACCAAUGGGAACAUAUAUGGGUCGGUCACAUUAAGACGUAGAAAUAGUAGUCACCACCAGGACCACGACUACAGUAGGAAUAGACAACCACAGAUCAACGCUGCACUCAGUAUCGUGGCCCGACACAUCUCCCAGUAUAACGUGGACAAUAUGACAAAUUCCCAAUUUAAUUUCCCGCACUCAUUGAAGUCUACUAAAUGUAAGUCCACUAAAUGUAGUAGCAACCUUACGUAUAACAAAUUUCAAAAUUUGACGGGUAUUAAAAUGACCUAAUUAACCUCAUGAUGUAUGCUUGGGCGUAUUGUUUUAUGACCUCCUCCGUUCGGUCUACAAGGUCUUCAAGGAGCUCGUCAAAAUUAGCAUUUAACUAGUUCAUUGAUAUCUAACCACUUUCAAACUUGUUUGGAACGUCCCACAAUAGUGAUUAGCAGAGGCCCACUUUGCUUAAAACGACCCCUGAUCCCCUGGUGAUUGACCCAUCUACUGGCAAAUCGAGUUGUAGCGUUACAUCAUCGAGUGUGAUUGUACACUUGCCGCAUAGAAGAUGGAAAUUGUGUAUUUCAGGCAUCUAUCUUUCCACCAAUGUGUUGAUUAGUGCCAAAUCGAGUUUGUAGCCCCCGAACAUUUGAGACGCAUGUAAGAAUCCAGCCGCUUUCAAGUGACCACGAAUUUCAAGGAUCGCAGUCUUUCCCAUAUUAUGAAUGAAGGCCUACAGAAUAUGAUCAUCACCUAUUUACACAAUAAAAACAUUUUGAAAUUAAAAAAUAAUUAAAUUUAACAUUAUUGAAAUUAACGAAAUUUAAAUUUUCGACUUACCAUUGCUACUUGUGUAACACCUUGAUUUUGGGCCUAAUCGGAACAGUGGUUUUGGGAGCACAAAUCCGACGAUGAAAAUUUUAUUUUUUAUUAUAUUUUAUGGUCUAAAAUUACACGGAAUAAUUUCGUGAAAAUUUCGUUCGAAAAUUUUGACGUUCGGGCACUUAAUUUAGUUAAAAGGACUAAAUCAUAAAAAGUGCAAAAGUUGAGUUCUACAUACUAGAGGUGUCCAAUUGUUAUGAAAUUUUAAAUUGAAGGUCCUUAAUUAGACCAUUGGUUAAUUUCUGGACAAAAAUAGACAUGAAAUGGGUGUAAUAAAACAUUUUUAAGUUAGGGAUAUUUUGGUAAAUUAAUAAUUAAAAGAAUUAAAAAGGGAAAUAAGCCAAAUUAGCUAUUAUCUUCUUCAUUCAACCCUUUCUACCAGAAACAGCCAUGGUUAAGGUUUUUUCAAGCUCCCAAGCUCGAUUGUAAGUGCUCCCUAGCCCCGUUUUUAAAGUUCUUUACAUUUUUGAAAUCCCAAUAACUAGGUUAAGCUUAUUCUAGCAAUAAUUUAACCUAGGGUUUAUAUUUGGAAAAAUACUCAUAGGUGAAAUGUGUUUAUUUUGAUGUUUUAUGGUAGAAUAUGAAGUUGAAAUUGUGUUAAACAAUUUUUACUAAGCGAUUUUACGUGAAAACACAUAAUCGGUAAAAAUACCUAAUGUUCAUAAGUACAUGUUAGAGUGCGAAUUUGAUGUUGCUAUAGAAGGGAAAAAUGACUAGCAUGUCAUAAAACAUAAGGAAAUAGGAUGAAGUUUAAUUUACGAGCCUAGGGGCAAAAAUGUAAUUUUGACAAAGUUUACGGGCAAAAUUGUAAUUUUUCCAAAAUACUAUUUUGGGUUAAUUUGAAUGAUGUGAGUCCUAAUUAGGCUAUAUUUGAAAUGAUAGAUCAAGGAAAAAUCAAAAUUCGAGAUAAAAUCGAAAAAUAUCAGGUUGUGGACAAAAUGGUAAAAAUGGCCAUUUUCGCAUACGAGGUAAGUUCAUAUAUUUUUUAAUAAUGUAAUGUGUAAUUGAAUGUUAUUGCCUUGAUAUUAAAUGAGAUGUAAGUUCAUGUGUAAAUGUGGUAACAUAAUUGUCAUUUUAAGUAAUUUAAUGAUAUUUAUUUGAUAUGAUGAUUAUUAUCAUGAAAUAUUAUGCUUUGUGGUUAUUAUUGAGUAAUAUGCAAAUUAUAUGAGCUAAUUGAUAAAUAUUAAAUGCUACCAAGUAUCGGUUCCAACAUUCCGUAGAAGACGACAAAGAUGUGUGAUUGAGGAAAAUCCCGUUUGAACCUUGGGAAUAGAUUGGGAUACAAGUGACAUGUCACUAAGAUAUUUGAGUUCCGAACUUGUUGAGUUAAGUCUGAGUUCACUUAUGGAUGCGAACGCCCGAGCUCGUUGAGUUGAGUCCGAGUUCGCUUAUGGGUGGGUUACAUGGUAGCUUGCCUACACAUAUAUUCCGCAGGCUAUUGAGUUUGUCUAGCUGUGGGUAUGGCACUUAUGUGCAUGCAUUCCGUGUAUCCGAUUAUAUUCCGAGUGUUCAACGGGUAAUUUGGCGAAGUAUUAGUUGAUGAUCCUAAUGAGAUAAGCCAUUGGUGAGUAUGUCUUUGAGUUAUGUUACAAGUUGUAUAGGUAUGUACACUAAACUUAUGUGUGAUGCCUUGACAUGUGAUGAUCUAUGAUGUAUAUAGUAUUUGGUGAAUAUUAUGAAAAUGACAUGAUUUGGAAUAAGUAUUUGAUACUUGAUAACAUUGAGAUUAUGGAUUUAUGCUUAUGAAGCAUAAUUAUGUGUUCUUACCAUUAUGAAUGAAAUGUUAUUGUAUGGAUUUGGUGAAUAAUAGUAAUGAAUGAGUAAAUUUAGCCUUGGCAGUUUUGGGUUAUUGCAGUGGUGCAAAUUUGGAAAUUCACCAUAAAUUGUGGAAAUUGAAUUAGGGGCUGAAUAAAAUAUGAGGUUAAAUCCCAAUGAGUCUAGUUUCACAUAGAAGAAACGAUAUAUGCAAUCGAAAUUUAUAUUAUGAGAUAUUUAAAUUGUUGUAAGACAAAGUCUGAAUGACUUCGUGAUCCCCUGAUUUGAUUUGAGAAAAUCAUUAAAAAUUGUAUAAAAAUAAUUAUGGGUUUUAAUUUAUAUUAUUAAAAUCCUUAAUGAGUCUAUUCUCUAGAAAGAUAGAUGAGAGCAUUAUCCGAAUUCUGUACUAUGAGAAAAAUAAUUUUUAGUGAAGAGAGGUCAGAACUGUUGGACAACAAAAUAUGGGAAACUUUAAUGAAUAAACUGUACUAAUUUACUAAAUAAAAAAUUCUUAAAAUUUUAUGGGAGAAAGGUAUGUUAGUCUCGUUUCAAGGAAAAUUAACGAAACUUAAUUUUGAGUCUCGUAGCUCUAGAUAUAAAUGAAUUAGUAACUGUAACUCGGUAAAACAGCUUAACCUGAACAAAAGUAAAUUGUACAAUUAUGAUGUUUUACCUAAAAAAAACAUGUGGGUAAUUGCUUAUUAACUUCAUAUGGACUUACUAAGUAUAAAGCUUACCCUUCUCUCUACUUCUUCAGUUUUGGCAGAUCGGCUCGGGGUUGGAGAUCGUUGGAGGCAAAAUCACACUAUCAAGCUAUCAUUUUUGGGAGAAUUAAUUCAAAUAUUAGAAAUAUCAAGUGAGUGGCAUGUAUAGGAAGUUGGUUUAUGAUGUGUAUUAUUAUUAUGACUUUGACCAUACGUAUUGGUCUGCAUUGAGUCAUCGUAUAUGAUCAUGAAAUGUAGUCCUUAUCCAUUAUGGUUUGUAAGUUUAAUUAAUCAUGCCAUGUCCUAUGUUUUGAUGUGAUGAUAUAGUUAGCUUUGUUUGUUAUGCAUGAUUGGUAAUACAUCAGGUAAGUUAAAUGCAGGCCAGUGGAUCAUGAAUUAAAUGGAAAUGAGUAAUGUUGCCUUGAAUAUGAAUGUUUAAUGGACAAAUUGAUAACUACAUUAUGAUGGUAUAAAAUGAGAAUAAGAUUUAGCAUGUCUAGUUCUAGUUAAUGUAAGAAUAUAUAUUAUAUACAGGAUGGUAAGCAAAUAUGUUUAAAGUGAAUGAUUUGUUAUUGCAUGAUUAUGGAUGUGUAAGUGCUCAUUUAUGCCACGUUAUAUUUCUUUAAAUAUGAGUCUAUGCAUGUGUUCAAAAAGCUUUGAAUUAAAUGAAAUUUUAUGGCCCGGUUUUCGUCUAUGUGUAUGGUUAAGUCUGGUAAUGCCUCGUACCCUGUUCCGGCCUUGGAUACGGGUAAAGGGUGUUACAACUUGGGUGGUAGAAAUAUACUUGUCGUCGAAGCGAAUUAGAGAGGCGACUAUUCGUGAAAAAUCGAUUUGAAUGAUUAAAAAUAAGAUAAUUAAAAAAAAUUAUUUUUAAAUGAAAAUAUCAAAAAAAAUUAAAACGAGAGAGUUGAGAGAAGGAUGUGAAUGAAUAAAAAUAAAAUUUGGGGGUAUUUAUAGGGUAAAAAAAUAACCGUUGGUAUAUUUAAUUUUUUUUUACUGUUGGCGCGACAACAUACAAAAAGCUAUUGUUGGAAAGUGCGUCCAACUAAACGAGCUUUCGAAAAAGCACGUCUAUCUAGGCGCACUUUCCUAACACCUGUACAAAAAGCUUACCCGGCUGAACGUGCUUUCUAUUCAAUUCAACUUAUUUCUUUAAUUAAUUUUAAAAUCGGCCUAAAAACCUAAUUAAUUAAAAAAGUGACUUUUGGACUUAUUUUGCCCUAAUUAAUAGCCCUAAGAAUUAGUUAUUGAAAAAAAUUAUGCUUUUAAUUAGAGGGAAAAGUAUGAAAUUUAAAAUAAAGUGCUUUGGACUUUUUUUAAUACUAAAGUUAACCCAAUAAAUAAUAUUUAAAUUGUUUAAUUUGUCAAUAACAUUAAUGCUGUAUUUGGAUUGAACUAAUAUGUUGUUUAAAAGAUAAAAUAAAUACAAAACAAAUUAUGAUGUUACUAAAAUACAUAUAUAAUGAAAAUUUAGUAAAUAAUAAGUUUUUUAGACUUGCUUGCCCAAAUAGAAUAAAGAGAUAAAAAAACAUCCCCACAAACUGGAGGCAAGUAUCUGCAGCAAGUAAGAUGCAUUGAAAAAAAUAGUGUCUGCCUUAUUCUCUUGAAUUUUAUGGCAGUUAGGAGGGUUCUGAGUGUUUUGAUUUGAUCGUAGUUUUUUUAUUUUCUUAGUUUUUCUUAUUGGUUUUGCUUGGUGGUUUUUUCGACGCUUCUGUUUUGAUUACGAUUUUUCUGAUGUUGAUUCUGGCGGAUAAGACGUUUCUUGCUAGGCUUUUAUCUUUCAUUCUUUUCGGUGAUUUUUUGUCUGUUUUCUCUUUUCUUUAUUUUUUCGUGGGUUUCUGUGUGUAUCUGUUUAUUCUGGUGGCAUUUAUUGUCUUAUGUGUCUUUCUGGGAUUUUGAGUUGGAGUUUGUUUGAGGGUCCCACGGCGCUCAAAAAAAGUUUCUUUCUUUUGACUUUGCUACCUUCCAAUUGCAUCGUCUAUGCAUGUUUUUAGGGUUUCUGAAGGGUCAAAGUACUGUUUGGAGGGUUUCAUGUAUGCAGGUUUUUUGCAUGCUUUUGACUUGGUUUAUUAAAAGUGAUUGGUUGUUUUCGUUUUUGAGAAUCCGGUGUAAUUUUCUUUGUAUUUUUUUACGGGUUUUUCUUUUUUCUUUUCUGUGGUGUUGUUUUUUCUUAAGGCUGCAUUAGAGUGUAUUGCACUUCUUGGUCCUUUGGCUGGCUUUUCUGUUUGACAAGUCCUCUCGGUUCUGUUUUGGUUUUAGGUGUUGUUUUUGUUGUUUUUGUUUUUUUGGUUUUUCGCUUGUUUUGUCUUCUUUUCUUUUCUUUUUUUUUUUUUGCAGAAAAAUCCUUUCUUGGGUGGGUAUCUCGUCUGGUUCCUGCGUUGUGCGCAGUGUCCCCGUGUUUGUGCACGUUUGGCUAACAAAGGGAGGAAAGACCAGAGAUGGAUUCAACAAUAACGACAGAUAAGAUAAAUGAACUUCUGAGAAGCAAUGUAUAGGGUGUUCAGGUCACUUUGGUAUACAAAGGAGGAAGUGGAUUUUGUGGCCUUAAAAGAAGGGGUUGUUAUUGUUAAGUUCGAUUGCCUGGAGGAUCGUAACCGAAUCUUCAACCUUAUGCCUUGGUUAUUUGAUAAAUGCCUAUUCUCGAUGGUGCCAUUUGAGAGAGGAAAGGACGUCGAAUCAUAUGAUUUUGGGUGGUCGCCCUUUUGGUUAUGAGUUUAUAACAUCCCUUUAGAGCUUAUGGAUCGUCAGGUAGCUUUGGAUGUGGAGAAGGCUCUCGGAGAACUAAUGGCAAUUGAUUAGAAGGAUCAAAACGGAGGAUGGACAGAGUUUAUGAGGCUGAAAGUUAAAAUUAACAUAUCCAAACCUUUAAGGAGAAUUGUGAAAUUGGUCAGCAAAGACAGGGAGGAAAUAAAAUGAGUUUUAAAGUAUGAGAGGCUCAAGAAUUUUUGCUAUCUAUGUGGGCUGAUAGGACAUACCCUCUAAAAGUGUCAUAAUAAUGGGGAAGGGGAUAGGAGUGAUAGGUUAAACAUUCAGUAUAGGGCUUGGAUGAGGGCACCUUUGGUGACCAUGAAUCAAGACAGGGGCAUGAGAAGGAAUGGGGUUGAAAUAGUGGCGACUACGAAUCUUUCGAAUGAUGAUGGGAAAGAAAGCCAAACAAAUACAAAUGACGAUAGUGGGCAACAUAUUCAACAAGAAAAAGAGAAAGAUGUAGAAGAAGAUUCGAUAUCAACUUCACCCAUGGAGGAAAGGAGUCACAAGUUGACUAGGGGCAAUAUGGGACGUUUUAGGCACAAAGAAAGAGAAUGAGGAAGGGGAACGGAAAACACCCUGAUAAUAGCCCUUCAAAAUUUGUUAAAUGAAGACUGAUGGAAAGUGUCUAACCUUUAAAGGUAGUGGCUGGCGAUCAGCCCUGCUAGGAACCAUGAAGUUCAUUUGCUAGAACUAUCAUGGAGUUGGAAACCCUACGACAGUUCGUGAGUUGGAGCAACAGCUUGUUGCUAAUGUUUUUGAUGUUGUCUUUUUGUGUGAAACCAAAAUUCACUCUAAUAGUUUCUCUUGUAUUCGUUCGAUGUGUAGGAUGGAAGGAUGCAUGGCUAUCAACUCGGAAGGUAAGAGUGGGGGUCUUGCUUUAAUGUGGAAAGAAGGUGUGAAAGUUGAAGUGCAAAGUUAUUCUAGGUACCAUAUUGAUUCCCUGGUCUCAUUGGACAAGAAUGUUGUGGUUCGUUUUACGGGAUUCUAUGGUCAAACUGACCUAAACUUAAGAAAUCAAUCGUGGGAUAUGUUAAGAAGGGUUAAAAGAUCGGUUAAGGAAGGUUGGAUUGUUGGGGGGGACUUUAAUGUUAUCCUUAACAAUACUGAGAAGGAAGGGGGUCGCAAAAAGCCGAGAAAACCUAUGGAUGAGUUCGGGGACAUCCUGGAUGAACUGAAUUUGGUUGACGUUAAAACGGGCAAUGGAUGGUUGACGUGGUCUAAUAAUAGAGAGGGAGCAAAUCUCAUUAAGGAAAGGCUGGACAGGUUUUUGGUUUCAGAGGAUUUGAUUGAAAAGCUGCCUUUUAUUACUUUUAAAAUGGUGCUUCAAUCGAAGUCAGAUCACGAAGUUAUUUUAUUGGAUACGCUGGGUAGUCAGCUGGGGAUAAAGGGAGAGAUUAUAAGUCUAGCUUUAGGUAUGAGGUUUCCUGGGCUAAGGUGCAGGAAGCUAAGGAUAUUAUUACCCGCAUUUGGGCUGACAAGGAUAGUAAUAUUUUGAAUAUAAUAAAUAAUCUUAGAGAGGAGUUGGGUCCGUGGCAGUAUCAUCGUUAUAAGAGAAUGAAGUACAAGAUUCACGGGUUGGAAAGGAAAAUUGGUAAGAGUAUGGAUGGGCCUAUUAAUGAGAGGUCGUCAAACUUUCUGAAGGCUACUCGCGAUCAGUUGGGUCAUUUAUACGAGACGGAAGAAAGGUACUGGGCGCAAAAGGGCUAGCAUUCAGUGGCUCAGAGAAGGCGAUCGUAAUACUCGGUACUUCCAUGUGUGUGCUAUGGGCCGUAAGAAGAAAAACAACAUCGAUAAGCUUAAAGACAUGCAAGGGACGUGGCAUGAAGACAAAAAUGAGAUUUGCAGUAUUAUUUGGUGCUACUUCCACGAUCUCUUCAAGACAUCCAUUAUGCCGGAGGAGGACGUUGACCUGAGUUUUGUCCCGAUAUACAUUACGGAUGAUAUGAAUAGUUUCUUAAACAGUAAGUUUAUGGAUGAUGAAAUUAUGAUAGCUUUCAAGCAAAUGGAUCUCUGAUAAACCGUAAAUUAUACAUAUUUUUACCCCAUGUUUAAUGCAUUUUAUGGAUGAUUUCCCAUUAGAAUUGGUGAAUUCGAUGCUCCUAAUGCUUUAAUUUCAUGUUUUAUACUUAGAAGAGCAUAGGAGAGCGAAAGGAACGAGAAACGGGCCAAAAACAGAUAAUAGGGAGUAAGUUCCAAAGAAGCCGAUUGAUCCAUCUCAAAAGCCGGAUUCAUCAUCAAGACUGAAGAUCUCUCCUCAAUUUUCUUCAGGAGUUUUGGGUUUUCUUUAUGUUUUGUAUUCUUUAUUCUUCUGAGAUGUUUUCUUAUUUAGUUAUGAACUAAAACCCCUAAAUACCUAGGGGAAUGAAACCUAAGAUGAAUCUUGUUAUUAUUUUCUAAAUCGUAUGAUAAAUAUUUAACUGGUUCUUAAUUAUGUGUUCUUAGUUCUUGUUUUGAUAUCCCAAGAUACUAAUUCAAGAUAAGCUCUUAUUCAGAGGAGGAAUAGACCUUGUCUAAGAGUACAUUUGUCAUAAUUAAGCGGAGUUGAUUGCGCGCCUAGACAUAGGGUGACAAGAUUUUGCCGGUGUAAUGGCCUAAAUUUAAGGUUAUCGGAAUAGUAGUUUCGUAACCACAAAUCUGAUUUAAAGAGAAAUUUAUUCCAAUAUUUUUGCAUAAAAAUUUAUAUGAUAGGAAAAUCGUAUGAAAAUAUUGAUAGAAAAAAAAUUUACCGAUUCAGUGGUUAGUUAGAAAAAGAAAUUAUUGAAGAAAUUGGGUAAAAACAAGGUAUUGGGACCUCUAUCUCGUAAAACCGAGUCACAAAUAAUUUUAUAAAUAUUUAUGAAAUGUUAGUAAUGUGGUAUUAAAAUUUAGUUAGGAAAUUUUAAUGUUUGGGUAGUCAAUUAAAUGAAAAGGACUAAAUUGUAAUAGGUGUAAAAGUUGCUAGAAUGAUUAAAUAGCUUAAAAGUCUAAUGAGAAAGGAUUUAAAAGGCAAUUAGACCCAAAAUUUAUUUGGGCUGGACGGCAAGGGCAUGAAAUCAGCAGGAAAAUUGAUAAAUUAAGGGAAAAAUUGGAAUAUUGCAAAAUUAACUAAAUAAAACUAGGACUAAAUAGGAAAUAUCUCGAUUUCUCUUCAUUUCUCUUCAAUUACAGCAGCUAAAAACGCCAUAGGAGGGUUCUCUAAGCUGGUGUUCCAUAAUUUUUGCACCAAUUGAGUUAAUCCUUCCCUUUUCUUGUAAUUUUUGUGUUUCUAAGACUUUUACAACUAGGUCCUACUAUUAAAUUCAUUAGUUUUUGAUUUCAUGGAUGAAAUUGAAAGUCACCAUGGUUGAGUGCUGUAAUUUUAUGAUGAAAUAUAAUGAAAUUAAAGCUUUAAUUUGUUUAUGAGAUGAUUUUAUUAGGUAAUUUUAAUAGAAAUUAAUUUUUAGGACUUAAUUGUGAAAAUGCUUGGAAUUAAAGUCUAUUGCUGAAAUUCUGAUUCCUAAAGAUUGUAAACUAGUUUAAGGUGAUAGAAUAAAAUGUUAAUUGAGAAAAAUCAGCUCAAUUGAGAGGCUAAUGGAGUAGGGACGAAACUAUCAUUUAUUAAAAGCAUAGGGGAAAAAUGGUAAUAAACAGCUUGCACAAAAACAGUUUGGACAGCAGCAGUAGACUAAGUUUGAAAAAUCACCAUAAAUUGUAGAAAUCGAAUUAGAAGAUGAAAAAAAUAUGGAAUUAAAGCUUAUUGAGUCUAGUUUCUCAUAGAAGAAAUAGUGUAAGUAAUAGAUUUGUAAAUUUUGAGAUAUAAUUAAUUUUGUGAGACAAGGUCAGAAUGAAUUCGGGUUCCCCUGUUCUUACUUUGAAAAAUCAUAAAAAAUUGAAUAAAAAUAAUUUGGGGCUUAAAUUUAUAUGUAUAAAAUCCUGAAUGAGUCUAUUUUUAAAAGAAACAAACAAGAACAUUAUUUGAAUCCUGUAUGAAGAGAGAAUUAAUUUUUAGUGAAUAAGGUUCAGAACUAUCAGACAGUAGAACAAGGGUGACUUUAAAGAAUAAACUGUAUUUAUUUGAUAAAUCAAAAAUUCUUAAAAUUUUUUGAUAAGAAGAUAUAUGAGUCUAGUUUCAGGUAAAAUUAACGGAUCUUAAUUUAGAGUUUCGUAGCUCGAGUUAUAAAUAAUUUAGUGACUAUGACUCAAAUAGAUAACUUUGAAUAAACUAUAAAUAAUAAUAGUUGAAUUAUAGAGAAUGUUGCAUAUGAACAUGAAAUGUAUUAAAUUUAUAAUUAAAUUUAUUUAUUUAGAUCCAGAAGAUUCAAAUAUGAAGCUAGAUCGAGGAAAGGAAAAAAUUUGGGAUUAGUAGAUUUUUUUUGUUUACAAACAAGUAUCAAGGUAAGUUCAUGUAACUUGAAUUAUAUUCUUAAAUGCUUGAGAUUGUAUGUUAUUGAUGUGAAUAUGAUUUGAAUGUUCAUUGUAUGAAAAUUAAUGAAACAUUGAUAUAUUUGAUAAAAUGGGAAGAAAUCCCGGUUGAAUGAAAGGAAAAUUCGAUGGAUCUCUGAAAAGGAAUUGACGGUAAAAAGGAUCUGUAACACCCCUUACCCGAGACUGUUGCCGGAAUCGAGUACGAGGCAUUACUUAGCUUAUCUUACUAAUUCGGGGCAUAAAAAUUCGUUUUAAAAAUUAAUUUCACUGUUUACAGUAAUCUGUCCAAUCGCGCAGCAGUUACUAAAUUGAUUAUAACUCGAGCUACGGUACUCCAAAUUUAAUUUCGUAAAUUUUUCCUGAAACUAGACUCAUAUAUAUUUCUACCAUAAAAUUUUCAGAAUUCUUGGUUUGACCAAUUAGUACAAUUUAUUAGUUAAAUUCUCCCCUGUUUCUUCACUCGACUGUCCUGACCCCUUGGUACUAAAAAUAAAUUUUCUCAUUAUAGGAUUUUCAUAUGAUAUUACCACUUAUUUCUACAGAAAAUAGACUCAAUAAGGAUUCUACACAUAUAAACUACAACUCAUAAAUAUUUUUAUACCAUUUUUAGUGAUUUUAUAAACUCGGAACAGGGGACUCCAGAAAUAGAUCUGACCAUUUCUCACUAAAAUUCACAUAUCUUAAAAUAUAAAUUUCUUUUUGCUAAACCGUUAUUUUUAUAUAAAAAUAGACUCAAUAAUAUUUCAUUUCAUAUAUCAUUCACCCUCUAAUUCAUUUUAUACUAUCCUAGGUGAUUUUUCAAAGUUACGUCACUAUUGCUGCCUGAAUUCUGUUUCUUUGCAAAAUUUUACCAUUUUAUGAUUUUCAUACCUAAUUUAUCACUUAGACUUUUAUAACAAUAAUUAACUUCAUCCUUGACCAUUUAAACAACCAUUCAUCAUCAAAUACUUACACAUCAUUCUAUAGUAAAAUCAUAUUUACAAAUAUACAAAAUUACUAAAUUCCUAUACAUGCCAUAACUAAAAGAAAUGUUCACCACCACAAUUAGCUCAGAAUCGGCUUUGGAUGCUGAUUCAACAAUCCGACUUUGACCUAACCUGCGCACGGAAACAACCGUACGCUGAGUAUGGAAAUACUCAGUGGUAUUACCAUAAUUCGAAUUAAUAACAUUAAUCGACAAAUUAUAUACAUUUUAUUUAUGUCUACAAUUAUUCAUUAAUUAUCUCAUGCAUUAAAUCAACUUGAUAAUUAAUAACAAUAAGCUAUAAUUCAAAUCUUGUAUUUAAUUGUAUUCAUACCUUAUUUCACUAUCUCAAUUCCAUGGGAUUUUUCUUUACAUCUCAUUCCAAUAGUUCAUUUCAAUUCAUAUACAAUUCAUUUCAUUUAAUUUAUAUUCAAUAUAAAUUUUAUUGCAAUUUGUACUCACUAAUAUCAUAUAACAAAAUUUACUCUUUAUCAUAUCAUGAACUUUGGGUUCAUAUUUUUAAAUCUCUUAUCUCGAUUUUCAAAUUCUCACAUCAAUUCACAAUUUCACUUUUGUCCACAGCUUAUACUCUUAGCCCAAAGUAGAUUUUACAGAACACCCCGGAUAUACGGAACAAAUACAGAGAGCACAAAUGUGCUAAACAGAGAGCACUGACGUGCUAAAUAUCAGAGAGCACCAACGUGCUAAUAUUAGAGAGCACCAACGUGCUAAUAAUCAGAGAGCGCGCUAAAGUUCCUUAAUAAGUUCCUUAAUGGCAUGCCACUAAUAUCCUGGUAGUUCUAAAUUCCAUCUACUUGGGCAUUAAAUAUGAAUCUCAUUUAUUUAAAUAUUUUAUAGAAUUAUUUCAAAAAGGAUUUAUCAUUUCUUCGUCAUUACAAUUUACUACUUAUUCCGCAAUUCACAUAUAUCACACUUAUUCACAAUUUAAUUCACUUUUAUUCCAUUCAUAUAUAUAUUUUUAAUUCAUUUUCCACUCGAAUUCAUGUACAAUUCAAUAUCAAUAUUCAUCUUAUUAUUAUUUUUUUUACUAAACAUAUUAUUCAAAAUUCAACAAUUAUUAUUAAUAAAUUCAAUACCAAUACGUAUAUAUAUAUUCAUUCAAUUCUUUCAUGAUACUCACCUUAAUUUGCUUAUCAUACAUAUUAAUUUAAAUUUCAACGAUUAAUAAUUAAAUUCGAAUUAUAGUAAUACUAACCGUAAUUUCUCUCGAGUCACUCCUUGUCCACUUUCUCCUUUCCUUUCUCGGACAAUGACUCGUACACGACAUUAGCUACGUAAUUAAACAAUUAAAAAUCAUUAAUACACAAUUUCAUUAAAAUAUUUCCUUUUAUACCUAAACUUUACCCAAAUUCUAAUUUAAUCCCUUACCAAUACUAAUUUUAUUUUUCCCAAUCUAACUCUAUAUUCUCUCUUAAUUCUUACUAUAAAGUCAAUUUAAUUCCUCAAUUUCACCAUAAAUCCCUAAUUUCGGGAUUCUUUCAAUUUAAUCCCUAUCGAUUCAAAACUUAUAUUUUAUUUUACAAUUACAUUCUUUACUAACUUCUAACUUGAAAUUAAAUCAAUUUAACCCCUAACUAAACCUAUAUAUUUUUCUUUCUCAAUUCAUACCCUUAUUCUACCCAAUUUCUUGCUAAACUCAUAUUUAACUAUUUAAUUUUUAUCAUGUUUUCAUAAUUCCGAAUUUAUUUCAAAUUAAUCCCUAAAAUUCAAAACUUAUAGUUUAGUUUACAAUUCAAUCCUUUAUUCAAUUCCAAUCAAAAUUUCUAUCAAAUACAUCCCUAAUUUAACAAUUUAUUCAACAUGAACCAUGCUUAAUAAUCUACUAACUUCCAAAAUUUCAACUUAAAUCAAGUAGUAUUUUAUUCUAGGAUUUCAAAAAAAAUAUCAAAAUUAAGAGAAAAGGGGAUUAAAUUGACUUACCAAAUUACUUUGAACCUUAAAACCCCAAAUUUCCCUUUUUCUUUUCUUUUCUUUCUUUCUUUCCUUCCUUCCUUCUCUGUUUCGUUUUGCUCUCUGUUUCUUUCUUUCUCCCUUCUCUGUUU